RNAcentral lists this long non-coding RNA (76695 nucleotides) under Triticum aestivum (bread wheat). RNAcentral's name for it is "long non-coding RNA (TAES_LNC007544)". The stretch from base 41552 to 41677 matches the Rfam family "MIR1120/MIR1122 microRNA precursor family". The record is from RNAcentral. Lineage: Eukaryota; Viridiplantae; Streptophyta; Magnoliopsida; Poales; Poaceae.
UUUUUUCUGUUUUUUAGUUAUAGAAAUGUUAGAAAUUAUUCUGUUUUGUAGUUAUAGAAAUGUUAGUUAUAUAGAAAUGUUAUAAAUGUUAUAAAUAUUAGAAAUGUUGUAGAAAUGCUAGUUAUAUAAUCAGAAAUGUUAAAAAAAUUAGAAUUAGUUUUAGUUAAUUAGAUGAAUUAGAUUAAUGUCAAUUUGUUAGAAUUUGCAUAUAUAUAGAAUUUUAGUUAUCACAAUCCAAUCAUUUAAAAAAUGUUACUUUUUGCGGGCAUAUAUAUAGUAUUUGUUCUCGACGAUAUGCCCGGCCCUCAUCCUCGCCGUCGACCCGUUCGCGAUGACAUCAUGCUUCAGAGGACCAAUGUCCGGGACUGGGCUCCGUCGGGCUGGCACUGGGAGGUGCUACCUAGAGGGGCGCCCCGCUUGGUGAGGAACCCGGCCUCGGGUCCCGUCGUCGACCCUGAUCUCUUUUGGUGGCAUUCGCGUGGGCCACAUUCGGUGAAGAGGCAGCCGGCCCUGCCGGAGGUGGUGCGUCACCAUGUCAGGGAGGAAGACGAGCACGUCCAUCGCUACAUGGCUGCUAUGGACGACGUCAGGUUCUCCACUACUUGGUAGGUUCUUUGGCAGAUGACCGGAGAUAUGAUCAUGUGAUGGUUCCUUCUCUUUGGGUGUCCAUGGCCCGCGCCCCAGGAAGCGCGAGUGGCGCCCUAGAUUCUUCUGUAGUACUCGAUCUUUAUUAGGUACCUAGCCAGUGAUGUAUUCGAUAUAUAAUAUUCGAGACGAUGUAUUCGAGAUUAUAUAUAUUAUUCAAGACGAUGAUGUAUUCGAGAUUAUAUAUUAAUCAAGACGAUGCAUAUAUUAUGUACUAUAUGAUUCAGUUUUUCCUUAUUGAUUGCAUCCAUGCAUUGUAAUUUGAAUACUAAAUUGUUUUAUAUUUCUUAUGUAUUAGUUAAGUAAAAGCUAUGGCGGACAAUACCGGCAGAGACAGGGAAGAGGAAUUGUUCGACAUCAUACGCAGCCCUCGCAGGCUAGAUGAUCUGAAUGAAGUAUUCGAUCUCGACAACCGAGCUGAUGAAGUCAUGAACUAUGAUUCUGAUUAUGAUGACACAGACAAUGUUUAUGAUGACACAGAGAAUGUUGAUCUUCAAAUAACAAAGACUAUCGGCGAGGUAUAUUUAUAUAAGCAGGCAUCAUGGUGAUCAUCACAUGUUUUUUUAUUGAAGAUAUAUGAAUGAAUCGAUCUUUCUUCUUUCAGCCCUCCUGAUCGAGCAAAUCUGCUUCUACAGACAGCAAGACAAAACGAGGCCCGGGCAGAUUGUUGAAGGAUGGUGUAAAGUACAACAUCGAAUCCACCAAACCUAGUGGCGAACCCCUCACGCCUAAGAACAUUGCGAACAAGUGGACUCGUCAGUGCGGAGUUCUUAUGAAGGACAAACUCCCGAUCUCAUUCAAGAAUGGAAAGAGCCAAAGACUAAACGUCCAGGUGUUACUUGGGUCGACGACAGAGCCAAAAAAGACCUUUGGGAAUCUCUGAUGGAACAUUUCACCCUACCAGAUCAUUUCACUGAAGCAGAUGUGGAGAAAGUCAAGGGCGCUGCUCUUAAGAACAUGGCAAUUGCAUUCAACACCCACGAGAAAACUGUAUGGGCCAACUACCUCGUUGUAGAAAGGAAGACUCCAGAAUUCACGGGAACACUGGAGAAGCAAAGAGAACACUGGGACGAUUUCGUGAAAUUCAAGGAUUCGGAAUUAUCUAAGGAAUGGUCGAUAAAAAACAAGGCCAAUGCCGCAAAAAAGACACAGUUCCAUAGGCUGGGUCCAGGUGGCUAUGCGGUGGGAAUGGCUAAGUGGGAUAAGUCUGAGCAAGAGAUGGAGGAUGCAGGGGUCACUCCGGUUACUAGGAGCUGGCCCCCCAGGUGCAGAACUUGGUUCUAUGCGCAUGGGGGGCGUUGGACCCGAAGACAGGCUUGGUUUCGCAGAAGGCAAGUCUAAAAGGAGCCAAACAAAAGAUACUUGACGCAAUAGAAGAAGCUCGAAGGGGGGUGUUCAUGCCCAAUAGAGAGAACAAUGAGCUUACACGCGCCCUGGGAAAUCCUGAACACCCGGGAAGAACACGAGGCAAGGGCGUUAUUCCCUGGUAUGAUGGCUUUUCAGAAUGGAACAAGCACUACAGGACCCGUGCAAGAAAGAAGAUGGAGGAGGAGAAGAAGAGGAAGCUGGAGGAGGAGCAGAGGAAGCAGGACGCAGAACGCCUUCAAGGCCUAGAAGCAAGGCACGCGGACUUGGCACUCAAAUUCCAGUAGCAGCAGCAGCAGAUUGACUCACUUAGCUAGGAAAGGGGGUCUUAGCAGCGGCAGCAGCAAGCGGAUGAUCGUCCAGCAUUGGAUAGCACCAUCCCAUCCAUGCCGAGAAGCAGCGUUGGUUCCGCCCCGGGCGACACACUGCUGGAUACAUACCCUAUGGAUGACAUCAUAGAGAACACUAACUGUGAGCUACACUCCAAAAUGAAGAACAUAUCCAUGAAGGUGGCGGAUGGCGUUGCUUUUACAAUUACCCCCGAAGCAACCUUCCAUUGCAUCCCGAUUCCAGAGGGCUAUGCUCGUGUCUUGGUUGAUGAAGUGGUGGACCCAUAUUCGGGGCUACAGCUUGACAUUCCUGGAGGUGAAGACGAGCGCACACUGGGAGAGGCCAAUACAUCUAUCAUCCUAUGGAGAAAGGAUUGCAUCAUCUUUUGAAGUCCACCGACACCGCAUCGUCUGCCAACUCCUCCUCGAAGUCCGUGACCGAAUCAGCAGACUCCCGCUCCUCCAAGUCCACGAACGCGUGAGCCGACUCCUCCUCGAAGUCCGCCACCUCCUCCAAGUCCCCGAACGCGUGAGCUGACUCCUCUGGUUUCAAGUCCGGCACAAUUUUAGGCCACUUCUCCGGUUUAAUGUUUGGCACCGUGUCAGGCCACGCCUCCUGCUUCUAGUCCGGCACAUCGUCAGGCCACUUCUCCUGCUCCAACUCAGCCACGUCAGCCGUCUCUGCCGCCUCAGCAAUCGCAGAAGAGACACGCCGCAGCUAUGGUGCGUAGCGGUACGAGUCGAGGUAGUACAGGAAGUACAGGCGGAGACAAGCGAUAUAAAUAUGGUCCAAGCCUCGCUCCUCUUCCUCAGAGGCCUUACGACAUGACCGAGGAGCAAAACACAGCCAUAGUGCAGGCCCAAGUGGACGCCCAUUUUGGACCGAAACCGGCACCGCCGCCAAAGGAGAAAGUGCCUGAGAGAACGAUUGACCACUUCAUUCGUAUGGCUAGAGCACCAGCUCCCAACCCUGUUGACUCAAACUAUGAGCGCCAAAUCAGGAAGCUACAUCGAGCAUGGCUACAGAAGGAAGCGAGCUCGAGCUCGAGCCAACAAGCAGCUAGCAAAAAAUGCGGGAAAACCGUUCCCCAGCUGGGAGAACAGGCGGCGCAAGCGAUCCCUCCGCUUGUUGUGCCAACAACACAUGAGAGGAGUACGCGCGCCCAAUAUUAUUGUGGGCAAACCGUUAGCGUUCCCCAGCUGGGCGAUGUGGUAAUAACAGAGGAGCAUAUAAUGCAGGCUGAAACGCUCAAGAUCUCUGUUGGACAACUCCUCAAAAUCGAGCCCAUGUCUCCGCUUAGAGAAUCGGAAAUAAAACGGAAAUAUGUCCGGGGCCAACCUUUGGUCGAGCCAGACAAGGUCAAGAACCUCCCAACGAGAAUGUAUGAAUUGCAUCAAUGGUACAUGAACAUUACCAAGAUUUCCAAUCGAGAGUCCCUCAUGGUGAAUGUCAAGCAUGAGCAUUACUACCAUCAGAAAGCUUUGGCCGUUGAGUAUUUAGAACUAUUUCAGUUAUACAAUCAAGAUGCACUCGACAAGUCUCUCGUCAGUUACUAUUGUAUGUAAGUGAUUUCUUUCUGUAAUUUAAGUCUCAAGCUAGCUAUGUAGUGAUAAUUUUGAUCAAUCAUUACAUGUAAUUAUCCUCACUAUAUUCUUUUCUGUGGUAUUAUAUGCAGGAUGAAGAUGUAUGAAAUGAAAAAAUCUGGACGCUAUGGCAUUGGGUUCAUUGACCCAAAUACCAUUAAUGAGUACAUAUGGAAUCUUCCAAUUUAUCAAGCAAGUGUAGAGGAAAGCAUGCUAGAGUUCUUGAAGCGCCUCAAUACCAAUGAAGAUAUACUACUUCCUUACAACUUCAUGUGAGUCACAUUGUCUUGUAAUACAAAUUCUGUUUUUGCUUACUAGCUAGCUAGAUGUUAAUAAUUAAGUGUAUAAGGUUUACGGUAGUUGAUUAAAUUUAUGCACAUGCAGUUACCACUGGAUCUUGUUAGACAUUAAAGUUGACAAAGGAAGAGUUGAAUUACUUGACUCACUACUUAAAGAAGAUAAAGACUACACCAUCGUGAAGGGGAUAGUCAACAGGUAAUUUCAAUCAUUAUUAACUAUAUCUCGGCCUAUUAUUAGUUCAUCAUUUCCUGAUAUGAACUAUUUAAUAACCCCUUUAUUAAUUUUCUUUGCCGGCGGGCAGGGCUUGGGCAAAGUUCAUCAAGGUGACUCCAGGCAAAUGGGCAAAAAAGUUGUUUGGGCAUCGACCAAAGGUAAGUAAUUAAGUAGUACUAGCUAGCUACCAUCUCUUUAAUUCUUGUUUCAAUACCAUUAAUUAAUUAUCAUGCUUGAUUAAUCAUUAUCUGAUUCAAUUCCGUUCUCGUAAAGGCCCUGAAGCAGACGCUGGGGAAUGAUUUGUGUGCAUUCUACGUUUGCGAGAACAUUUGCAUGAUGGCGUCCGAAAGGAGCAGAUCUAAAAGACAAGACUGGGUACGUUUGUCAGAACACUAUUCACACCAUUAUCGAUAUCUAGUCACACAACUAAUACACAUGCAUACUGAUCUCCUUCUUAACAGUUCAGAGAGGUGCGGGAUAAGCUCCUACUAGCGGACCGCAUACUAGCACUUCAAGAGGAAAUAGCCGGAUUUUUGCUCGACCAGGUCAUAGAUCCCAAAGGAGAAUACUAUUACCCGCUACCGCCCCCAUGAACCACUUGUCAUCGUGCUCCGGAGGCACCAAGGCAACAUGUAGGAGAAAUUGUAUAUGUAUAUACAUGUGUAUGUGUGAAUAAUUAAUGGUGUUGGUUGUGAGACAUUCGAUGAUAUAUAUUUAUAUAUAUAUAUAUGCGGUUCUACGUAUGAGAAAAUCUAUUUAUAUAUAUGCAUAACGUAUACAAUUUGUAGUAUCAUGAAAUACCAGCAAACAAAAAAGAAUUAAAUAGAAAAUAAAGCCAACCCCCCCCAAACAUUUAGUACCGGUUGGUGUUACCAACCGGUACUAAUGUCCUACACGCACCCGGGCCUGGCUCGUGCCACAUGGUGACACUUGAGCCGCCGGUUCGUGACAAACCGGUACUAAAGGGGGGACCUUUAGUCCCCACUCUUUAGUGCCGGUUGCCGAACCGGCACUAAAGGUGAAAGAUCGUGGAUGUCGCCUAGAGGGGGGGUGAAUAGGUGCUUUAAAAUAAUUACGGUUGAGGCUUGAACAAAUGCGGAAUAAACCUAGCGGUUGAUUUGUCAAGCACAAAACCUACAACAACUAGGCCCACCUAUGUGCACCAACAACUUAUGCCAAGAAAGAAAACUACUUAGGUGAUAGCAAGAUAUAUGACAAGAAACAAUAUGGCUAUCACAAAGUAAAGUGCAUAAGUAAAGGGCUCGUAUAAAAGAUAACCGAGGCACGCGGAGAUGACGAUGUAUCCCGAAGUUCACACCCUUGCGGAUGCUAAUCUCCGUUUGGAGCGGUGUGGAGGCACAAUGCUCCCCAAGAAGCCACUAGGGCCACCGUAAUCUCCUCACGCCCUCGCACAAUGCAAGGUGCCGUGAUUCCACUAAGGGACCCUUGAGGGCGGUCACUGAACCCGUAUGAAUGGCAACCCUUGGGGGCAGUCACCGGUACCCGUCAAACUGCUCGGGGCGAUCUCCACAACCUAAUUGGAGACCCCGACGCUUGCCCAGAGCUUUACACCACAAUGAUUGAGAUCCGAACACCACCAACCGUCUAGGGCGCACAAGCACCCAAGAGGAACAAGCUCAAGGGCACCAAGCACCCAAGAGUAAUAAGCUUCUCAACUUGUAACUUCCACAUAUCAUCGUGGAGAACUCAAACCGAUGCACCAAAUGCAAUGGCAAGGGCACACGGAGUGCCCAAGUCCUUCUCUCUCAAAUCCCACCGAAGCAACUAAUUCUAGGAAAGAAAAUGAGAGGAAGAACAAGAAGGAGAACACCAAGAACUCCAAGAUCUAGAUCCAAGGGGUUCCCCUCACAUAGAGGAGAAAGUGAUUGGUGGAAAUGUGGAUCUAGAUCUCCUCUCUCUUUUCCCUCAAAAACUAGCAAGAAUCCAUGGAGGGAUUGAGAGUUAGCAAGCUCGAAGAAGGUCAACAAUGAGGGAAGAACACGAGCUCAAAGGAUAAGGUUCAUUGGGGAAGAAGACCCCCUAUUAUAGGACCUCCCUAAUCCAACCGUUAUGUGCUCAGGUCGUGCACAAGCGGUACUACCGCUUGGAGGAGCGGUACUACCGCUUAGCACGGUCAAAACAGCCCAACGAGAGAGAAAACAUGAGUUUUUGGUCCCGAGCGGAAGUAGCCACGGAAGUAGCCGUGGUAGUACUACUCCAAGCGGAAGUACCGCUCCCAAGAGCGGUAGUAAAAAAUUACUUCCGCUCCUGUCCGCGGUAGUACCGUUGCAGCCUUUUCAGAACACCAAAACUGACACAACUUCUGCAAACGGACUCCGAAUUCGACGAAACCAAGUUUGUUGGAAAGCUAGCGACAAAGGAUAACACAAUCUUGAUAGAAAUAUCAAUAAUAAGCAAAUGAGAAAAGGCCCAAAAGAAAAUGGUGAGAACCCUUCCUCGGAUAAGACCGGUAAAACCUCCAAUACCGAAAACAUCAUAGAAGACGCAUGCAAACUCCGUUUUCGAUGAACUCAAGCUUGUCAUCAAGAUGACCAUAAGCUCUAAGACUCACAAUGAGAACCAAACAACAACCAAGAAACAUGAUGCAAGGAUGCAAUGGUUUGAGCUCUCGACGAAUGAUACGAUCAAGCUACUCACUUGAGAGCCCCCCUUGAUAGUACGGCUAUCGAUCCUAUAACCCGGUCUCCCAACUACCACCAUGAGACCGGUAAAAUAGAAAACCUAUCAAGGGAAAACCUUUGCCUUGCACAUGAUCCACUUGAGCUAGAUGAUGACGAUCUUGUCCUCCUCAAGAUGGACCACCUUUCUUGAUUGCGUUGGGUCGAUGGAGACUAGAUUAUUGCUCCCCCAUACUCCACUAUGGGUGAGCCACUCUUCGGCACAUCUUCACAAGUCCAUUGACACCACAAUGGAUGGAAAGCUUCAAGCACUUGAUCUCUUCGUGAUGCUCCACUUGAACUUGCACACAGUAAUCUUGAUGACGAUCACCACUUGAUGUCAUCCUCUCCAUGGGUUGAGUGAUAUCUUCCUCUUGACGCAAGCCCAUGAACACGUACCUAACCCCACAUAGAACUCUCACAUAGACCAUGGGUUAGUACACAAAGCAUAAUGGACAAUGCUUACCAUGCCAUGGGAUCACUUGAUCCCUCUCGGUACAUCUUCUACGCUUUGUGAGUUGAUCAACUUGAUUCACUCUUGACUUAGUCUUGAUCAACCUUGAAUAUUUCCAACUUUCUUCAUUUGGAUGAUGUCUUGAAGGUAAACAUGAAUGAUCACACAAUCUUCUUAUUCAAGACAUGCUUUCAAUAAGCUCAACUCUCACAUGACCAAUCUUUGGAUAAUUCCUUAAUAGCACCUUGGUCAACACAAACUCUCCUUGAAACCAACACAUGUACUCCAAGAAAAGCCUAUGGACAAAACCUUCAAAUAUAACUCAAGGCAACCAUUAGUCCAUAGAUAUUGUCAUCAAUUACCAAAACCAAACAUGGGGGCACCACAUGUUCUUUCAAUCUCCCCCAUUUUGGUAAUUGAUGACAAUCACUUUCAAGAGAGUUUAUAUAAGGAAUUAUGCAUCACCAUGCAAUGCAACAACCAAUGAUGCAUGAGUAAGAGAUGCAAAUGCUUUGGAACAAAACCAAAGCAAGAGGAGAGAAUUCUCUAAACUUCUCCACAAAACUCUCUAAAACUUCUCCCCCAUUGGCGUCGAUUGCCAAAAUGGGAGAAAAGCUUAGAAGGCCAAUAUAAAUUGUGUUCCUCCAUAAUUUGUGUAUUUCUCAACAAGAGAGUGGAAUGCAAUACACAUAUCCAAUGGUAAAUACUUGGAGGAAGACAAACUAUAUUGAGGCCCAAAGAUUACAAAAGGAAGAUAUGCCACAAAGACAUAACAAAGAGAGAAACAAGCAAUCAAGCAAUCAAAAGAUACCUACUAAAGCAAGCUAUCAAAAGAUACCAAUUGAACCAACUAGGCCAAUGAUCCUACGAGCCACAUGAAUAAAGGAUAUUAUGAUGAGAGCAAAGGAGUGAUCUAAAGAAACUAGAGAAUCUCCCCAUGAUUUGUGCACACAUAAGAAUUUUUUGUAUUAGGAUACCAAGUGCACAAAAUAGGAUCAUAGCUCCCCCAAAAUCAAUAGAAACUUACAAUAAGUGCAAGUGAGCAUAUAGGAAACUAAGCCUAGUACUUGCAACAAACACAUGGUUGGGCAACAAGUAAGAGAGGCAACUUAAGAGUGGUCUCAACCAAAAUGAUGUGUGUGAGUCAAGGCAAUGCACUUGAGAAGACUAAUGUACGUAUGGGCAUUAAGCAUCAAUAAAGUCUUGAAGGAAUGAGGCACACCGUGCAAGGCCUAUCAUUCCCACACACACCCACUAGCAAAUGGGUUCAGAAGCUCACUAAAAAGAUAACAACAAAGCUUGCCACAACCCAUGGUGAAUAUAGAAGAUGAAAGCCUCAUCAAGACGAGGGAUACCAAUUAAGAUGGCAAAAGCCUCGUAGAGAUAAGCACGAGGAAAAUAAUCUUCACCACACAAGAGUGCAUCAAGAUGCAAUGAGAUAAGACACGCACUCAAGGCAAAAGCUUUCACGGAGCCACCAAAGAAAUAACAUAAGGAAGACAAGGUGGACGUGAAAGAAAUGAUAUCAUCUAGAGAUGUAGUUUCUCUCAAGUGUAUAAGGUUCCAGGUAGAUGAAAUCAUGAUGAUAUAUAUCUACAAAGAAAGAUAUACACCCAAAAUAGCUACAACAUGAAGGAACAAGAUAUCCAAAAGGAAGUCAUAGAUAUACCAAUAAGAUAUUUGCUUGGAAGCAUAGCACAUGGCUAGAUAAGGUCUUAUUGUAUAUAAAUGAAUUCCUACCACACAACCAUCAAAGACAUCACAACUAGCAACAUGAGAUCAUCGUUGAGAUGCUUUGAGAAAGGAAACAAGUAUCACAAGAUGGAAUGAAUAUCAUGCCAAGAUGCAACCUACACAAGGUUGAAUGCAAGAAAAGAAUGCAUGAAUAGAUACUUGUUACCGAGAUAUCAUUGGAAGGAUGUAGAAGAAACCAAUUGAAGGUAAUAGAUAGUAGUUCAUUGAGUAUCCUAGCUUGACUCCAAUAAGCACAUGGUGACACCACCUUCCUUGUGAAUGAGCCGAGCAUCCAAUGCAUCUCUAGUUGUUCCUAGAACAACACCACAAACAAAAUGGUACCCAAACUCGUUGGGACCAAAGAGUUAGAAAACCAACAAUACAUAUGACAAACUCCACAUAAAUAUGUGCAUAUAGAUAUGAAAAUGAAUUUCAUGCACAUCUCAUCCAAUUUUAUACUUGGUGGAGUUUCCCCUAUAUAUUGGGUCAAAGAGAGAAAGCAUGCCAAGGAAACUACAUGAAGUUAAUAUGCAUGCUCAAGACUUUCAAGAACCGAUAGCAAAAUACAAGGAAAUACCAAGUGAAAAUAAUACCAAAAGGAGAAAUCAUCACUUGGAAGAUAUCAUUAAAAGAUACAACAAGGAAUGAGAUAUCCAUUGGAACCCACAAAACGAUAUCAAACUCCCAAAAGAGAGGAUGGUUCCAAACAAACCAAGCUCUCUACAAAGUUUCAUGAUGGCACAAGUACCAAAAAGAAAUCGCUUGCCGUCCACCAACACACACUUAAAAUGGAUCACAAGUUUAGUGUUUUAUAGAAAAUAGGAUAGCUCCCCCCACGAGUUGUGCAUUAUAGAGAAUUUGCAUUUGAAUACAAAAUACACAAGGUAGGAUCACCACGUUCACUAUAUCAAGGAAAACACUAGACAAGAUCAAGAAAACAGCAAGAUCCUCAAGUGGCACGGAAGGCAAUGGGAGUUGACACAAACUUGGCAAGAGAUAAGGCAAAUAAAAAGCAAACGCCAACGUGAAGAUGAUCAAUAAUUUCUACCACACAUAAGUGAGUACCAAUUGUCAAAAGACAAGAAGUAUUUGGAAAUAAUUCCCGGUGGUAGAUAGCAAGGAUAUCCAACAUCAUCUUCACACCAAACACAAGCAAAUUUCAACUUGUAGAGCUAACAUGCCACCUAGUAACAAGAUAAUUUACAAUAUCAAUUCUAGGUGACAAUAUCUCAAAUGUACACAUUUUCUAGGCUAGUAAUAUACACAUAGAAUAUUACUCCCCCAUAAUGUGAUACCAAUUAAAGAUAAACAAGAGGCAAAAUAAAGACCCAACAUGAGAUAAUUAAUGGACAAAUUAGAAUUUCAAUUUCUCAUGAGAAGACAUACCACAUAGAGACUAGAUAAUCUUGUAAUAUAAAUACUAGAUGGUAUUACUCAUGUACACACAUUUAUAGGAUUGUGAGGUGUACAAAGCACAUCACUCCCCCAUAAUGGGAUAUUCCAUUAAUCUCUCACAAGAGCCAACUGAGAUACAAACAAGAUGCAUAAAGGCUCAACGAAUGACACACAUGUACAUGAAGUGCAAACCAACAUACAUAAACUUGAUUACUCAAGAAAAGCAAUUUGGAGACACAACACAUACAAACACAUGCAAGGAACAAAACCAAAACAUCCAAAGGGGCAAGUAACUUUCAAUGUAAACAAUUUAACUACAAGUUACUGCAAGGAGGCACAUUGGAUAUAAGAUAGAAACUUGAUAACCCAAUUGACUUGGCUUGAGACAAUAAGAAUGAUGAAGUCCCCUUAAUUCUUCAUAAUGUAGCCAAAUCUCCAAUAACCUCCAACAAUACCUAUUGAUCAAGUUUGAGCUAGUUGGUCCCCAACCAAGUUGGGUCCUAAGAGGUUAGUCACAAUAGGCUUGGCUACCCAAAUGGUUCUUUGCUUCAAACCGCUUUGAGUACCAACAAACUUGGCAACCAUAUUGCCAACCUUAUCCUUCCCAAGAGAAUAGACAUCAUCAAUAAUAAUUGGGUUGGAUAAGUUACCACUAGUGCAUGAAGAAGCGAGGUGACCUUUCUCACGACAUAUGUAGCAACGUCUACUCUUCACUUUCUUCUCACUUGAUUUCUCAACUUGAGAAGCAUUAGCUUGAGUCUUCUUGGGAAGAGGCCUUUCUUCAACUUGAGGUUGAGCAUGAGAAUGCACUUGUAGCCGCUUCCCUUGUUGCUUGUCACUAACGGCCUUCUUCUUCAAUGGGCAAGAUCUAACAUGAUGCCCUUGAAUUUUGCACUUGAAGCAAAUAAUCUUGGUCGAAUUCUUGACGUGUUCUUGGCCCUUCUUCUUGUUCAUCUUGGACUUCUUCUUCUUGUUGGAGUUGAAUCCAAGUCCACUUUUUUCAUUGGGGGAUUUUUGCACACUCAAGAUAUUGUUGAGUGUGGAUUUCCCUUCAUGACACUUUUCCAUGUCUUUCUUCAAGGAAGUGACUUGGGCCUUGAGUUCUUUGAUUUCCUCUACAUGGUUAGUCUCAACACAAGUACUAGAGGAAGUAUAAGCUUCAUCAUUGGAGCAACAAGGCAAGGAAAGCAAUUCAUCACAAGAUGUACCAAUGUUAUGCAUAGACGAAUUACGAGGACUAGCACAAAGCAAUAUAGCAUGUUGACUAAAAGUAGUGCUAAUGUCCACAUGAGGCUCACUCGAUGUUACCUUAGCAAUCAUAGCCUCGUGAGCUAACUUUAGCACAUUAUGGGAUACUAGGAGAUCAUCAUGAGAGCUUGUGAGCUUUACAUGAUUUUCUUCCAACAUCCCAUAAUUGCUAGAUAGCAACUCAAGUUGAGCCCUUAGCUCAAUAUUCUCCUUCAAUAUGGAUGCUUCACAAGAGAUAGAGUUAGUAGCACAAGCAUCAUCAUUAGCAACAAGAGGAGAAGACAACUUGGCAACCACCAACCGUCUAGGGCGCCCAAGCACCCAAGAGGAACAAGCUCAAGGACACCAAGCACCCAAGAGUAAUAAGCUUCUCAACUUGUAACUUCCACGUAUCACCGUGGAGAACUCAAACCGAUGCACCAAAUGCAAUGGCAAGGGCACACGGAGUGCCCAAGUUCUUCUCUCUCAAAUCCCACCGAAGCAACUAAUGCUAGGGAAGAAAAUGAGAGGAAGAACAAGAAGGAGAACACCAAGAACUCCAAGAUCUAGAUCCAGGGGGUUCCCCUCACAUAGAGGAGAAAGUGAUUGGUGGAAAUGUGGAUCUAGAUCUUCUCUCUCUUUUCCCUCAAAAACUAGCAAGAAUUCAUGGAGGGAUUGAGAGUUAGCAAGCUCGAAGAAGGUCAACAAUGGGGGGAGAACACAAGCUCAAAGGAUAAGGUUCAUUGGGGAAGAAGAUCCCCUUUUAUAGGACCUCCCGAAUCCAACCGUUAUGUGCUCAGGUCGUGCACAAGCGGUACUACCGCUUGGAGGAGCGGUACUACCGCUUAGCAUGGUCAAAACAGCCCAACGAGAGAGAAAACACGAGUUUUUGGUCCCGAGCGGAAGUAGCCACGGAAGUAGUCGCGGUAGUACUGCUCCAAGCGGUAGUAAAAAAUUACUUCCGCUCCUGUCCGCGGUAGUACCGCUGCAGCCUUUUCAGAACACCAAAACUGACACAACUUCUGCAAACGGGCUCCGAAUUCGAUGAAACCAAGUUUGUUGGAAAGCUAGAGACAAGGGAUAACACAAUCUUGAUAGAAAUAUCAAUAAGAAGCAAAUGAUAAAAGGCCCAAAAGAAAAUGGUGAGAACCCUUCCUUGGAUAAGACCGGUAAAACCUCCAAUACCGAAAACAUCAUAGAAGACGCAUGCAAACUCCGUUUUCGAUGAACUCAAGCUUGUCAUCAAGAUGACCAUAAGCUCUAAGACUCACAAGGAGAACCAAACAAAAACCAAGAAACAUGAUGCAAGGAUGCAAUGGUUUGAGCUCUCGACGAAUGAUACGAUCAAGCUACUCACUUGAGAGCCCCCCUUGAUAGUACGGCUAUCGAUCCUAUAACCCGGUCUCCCAACUACCACCAUGAGACCGGUAAAAUAGAAAACCUAUCAAGGGCAAACCUUUUCCUUGCACAUGAUCCACUUGAGCUAGAUGAUGACGAUCUUGUCCUCCUCAAGAUGGACCACCUUUCUUGAUUGCGUUGGGUCGAUGGAGACUAGAUGAUUGCUCCCCCAUACUCCACUAUGGGUGAGCCACUCUUCGGCACAUCUUCACAAGUCCAUUGACACCACAAUGGAUGGAAAGCUUCAAGCACUUGAUCUCUUCGUGAUGCUCCACUUGAACUUGCACACAGCAAUCUUGAUGACGAUCACCACUUGAUGUCAUCCUCUCCAUGGGUUGAGUGAUAUCUUCCUCUUGACGCAAGCCCAUGAACACGUACCUAACCCCACAUAGAACUCUCACAUAGACCAUGGGUUAGUACACAAAGCACAAUGGACAAUGCUUACCAUGCCAUGGGAUCACUUGAUCCCUCUCGGUACAUCUUCUACGCUUUGUGAGUUGAUCAACUUGAUUCAGUCUUGACUUAGUUUUUAUCAACCUUGAAUAUUUCCAACUCUCUUCAUUUGGAUGAUGUCUUGAAGGUAAACAUGAAUGAUCACACAAUCUUCUUAUUCAAUACAUGCUUUCAAUAAGCUCAACUCUCACAUGACCAAUCUUUGGAUAAUUCCUUAAUAGCACCUUGGUCAACACAAACUCUCCUUGAAACCAACACAUGUACUCCAAGAAAAGCAUAUGGACAAAACCUUCAAAUAUAACUCAAGGCAACCAUUAGUCCAUAGAGAUUGUCAUCAAUUACCAAAACCAAACAUGGGGGCACCGCAUGUUCUUUCAAAAGGCCGUUACGAACUGGCACUAAAGGUCGGUUCUGCACUAGUGUUAUAAGAAGAAUCGCCCCAAUCAUGAUCAUUGCAACAAGUAGUAGACAUAGCAAAAUUAGCAUCCCCAAGCUUAGGGUUUUACAUAUCAUUAACACAACUGACAUUAAUAAAAUUUAUAAUAACAUCAUUGCAAUCAUGCUUUUCAUUCAAGGAGCUAUCAUGAAUCACUUUAUAAAUUUCUUUUAACACUUCAUCACAAAUUUCAAAUUCACGAAUUUCAAGCAAAACCUCAUAAAGAUAAUCUAGUGCACUCAACUCACUAGCAAUUGGUUCAUCAUAAUUGGAUCUUCUAAAAAGAUUAGCAAGUGGAUGAGGAUCCAUAAAUCUCUUUUUUUCUGAAUUGCAAUAAACAGAAUUAUGCCAAGCAAACGAGCAAACAAACCAAGUAAGACAUAAAGACAAACGGAAAGAAGGCAAAUAAAAAGGUAAAUAUUUUUGUGUUUUUCUGAAAACAUUUAAGAAGUGGGGGUGAAAACUAGAAGCAAAUGGCAAAUAAUGUAAGUGCAAGAGAUGAGAGUUUAUGAAAAGUACUUGGUAGGCUUGAUGUAGAACCUCCCCGACAAUGGCGCCAGAAAUUCUUCCUGCUACUUCUUGAGCUUGCGUUGAUUUUUCCCUUGAAGAGGAAAGGGUGAUGCGGCAAAGUAGAGAUAAGUAUUUCCUUCAGUUGAGAACCAAGGUAUCAAUCCAGUAGGAGGCACAAGACUAUGCACCUGCACAAACUAACAAACACUUGCACACAACGCGAAAAAGGGGUUGUCAAUCCCUUCAUGGUCACGAACAAGAGUGAGAUCUGAUAGAUAGAUAUAAAACAAAUAAAAGUAAAUAAAACUCAGCGAGGUAUUUUCGUAUUUUUGGUUUUGUAGAUCUGAAAAUAAUAGAUGGAAAAUAGACCGGGGGCCAUAGGUUUCACUAGAGGCUUCUCUCUCGAAAGAAAACAUACGGUGGAUAAACAAAUUACUAUCGAGCAAUUGAUAGAAAAGCGCAAAGUUAUGACAAUAUCUAAGGCAAUGAUCAUGAAUAUAGGCAUCACGUCCGUGACAAGUAGACCGACUCCUGCCUGCAUCUACUACUAUUACUCCACACAUCGAUCGACUCCUGCCUGCAUCUAGAGUAUUAAGUUCAUAAGAACGUAGUAACGGUUUAAGCAAGAUGACAUGAUGUAGAUGGAUAAACUCAAGCAAUAUGAUAUAAACCCCAUCUUUUUACCAUUGAUGGCAAUAAUACAAUAUGUGCCUCGCUACCCUUUCUAUCACUGGGUCAGGACACCGCAAGAUCGAACCCAAAACUAAACACCUCUCUCAUUGUAAGAACUACCAAUCUAGUUGGCCAAACCAAACCAAUAAUUCGAAGAGAAAUACAAAGAUAUCAAAUCAUGCGUAUAAGAAUUCAGAGAAGACUCAAAUAAUAUUCAUAGAUAAUCUGAUCAUAAAUCCACAAUUCAUCUGAUCUCGACAAACACACCGCAAAAGAAGAUUACAUCAGAUAGAACUCCAAGAACAUCGAGGAGAACAUUGUAUUGGAGAUCAAAUAGAGAAAAGAAGCCAUCUAGCUACUAGCUAUGGACUCGUAGGUCUGUGGUAAACUACUCACGCAUCAUCAGAAGGGUAGUAAGGUUGAUGUAGAAGCCCUCCGAGAUCGAAUCCCCCUCCAGCAAAGUACCGAAAAAGGCCUCCAAAUGGGAUCUCACGAGGUCAGAGACCUGCGGCGGUGGAAAAGUGGUUUUGUGGAUACUUUUAGGGUUUUGGGAAUAUUUCUGAAUUUAUAGGCCGAGGUAGGAGGUCAGGGGGUCUCCGCGGGGUCCACAAGCCCCCCCGGGCGCGCCCCCCUGGCUUGUCGUCUCCUCGAGGACUCUCUGACUUGGACUCCAAGUCCUACGUGUGUCUUCUGGUCCAAGAAAAAUCAUCACGAAAGUUUUAUUCCGUUUGAUAUUCAUUUUCCUGAAAAACUAAAAAAAACAGAAACUGACACUGGGCUCUAGGUUAAUAAGUUAGUCCCAAAAAUAAUAUAAAAUUACAUAUUAAUGCAUAUAAAAUAUCCAAAACAAAUAAUAUUAUAGCAUGAAACAAUCAAAAAUUAUAGAUACAUUGAAGACGUAUCAGCCACCACCUUCCCUUGGGCACCCGUGGACUUCGUCAGCGGCCCCUCCAGCGGCGGCGAAGCGAUGGACCUGGUGGCGGCGGCGGCGCUAGGGUUCCCCGUGUCACCCGGGGCGACGCGGGGGCCACCUUCCCUUGGGCACACUUGGACUUCGUCAACGGCCCCUCUAGCGGCGGCGAAGUGAUGGACCUGGUGGUGGCGACGGCGAGGGUUCCCCGUGUCACCCAGGCCGUGAGGGACCUAACAGCGUUCCAAUUCGACAGUCAAAGGCUGGCCGCGCUGGAGGCUUCAAUCCUUUCUGGCAGUCUCUAUGUUUUGAACCUAUCUCACGACUUUGUUAGUUCCAUGGAGGAUUUGAGACGAUGAAGAAUAACAUGGCAAAAACAUAAGGUCAUGCAUUUUGACACCAACAUGUUAUCCCAAAGACAAUCGAACAGAACACACCAGCAAUUGGCAAUGACCAUAAGAUCAACCCUUGAUGUAAUGAUAUACUUGUGGCGAACAUGCAAUCAAGAAUUGGACCACUUGUAGUCUUGUAUACAUACAUAUAUUGCAUAGUCCAAAACGGAUGAACACCAGCUGAGGUCCAACAUUUGCCACAGAUUGGCAUUGAUUGUUACACAGGUCACAAAGGUAAUCACAAAAUUCCGGGUACAGUUGAUUCUCUCGUGAUGCGGCGCCGGUCGCAAAGAGCAAAACAGUAAAACAAAAGGAACAGCACAAUACAUAUGAGCAAAUACAUAUCACUUUUUAUCUAGCUAGUUUCCUCCACACGGUGCGACCACGGUUGAUCUCGUCCCCAGCCCCAGCAAAUCUCAAGCAGUGCAAGAACUGACGCUGCUCUUCUGGGUGCGGCGCUGAAAACAGAGAUCCAUUAGAAUUUAUCUCCUCCCCUUCCUCUAUAUAGGUGAGAGAAUCGACUAUGUCAUCAUGCUGGCACUCUCUUCUGUAGUCAAGAGUGAUUGUUUGCAACUCAUGGGUAUCAAUAAUAUCUUGAGGUAUGCUCUGUGGUUUGAGAGGAAAAAUAAAAGAGAUAUCAGAAAACUAUCACAAAUCAACAAGGAUACAUUUAUACAUGUUUCCAGCGAGUGAUUGUUUACAGAGGGAGUAUUAAGGAAUAACCAAAUAAGUGAUAGUGAACUACUCAAGAUAUCUAUCUCAAUAAAGGAAGUUUGAAAACAGGAUAACUCAGGCAAAAGGAGGAACAGUGAACUGAUGAUUACAAAAAGGGCUGCUGGAAAACUCACUUCGAGGACCCAACCAAUGUAAGUGACAUUAUUGACAUGUUGGUUCAUGUCCAGAUCAGCUCUUCUAGGCUGCAAUUCAGAAAUCAAGGCAUGUCAGCAUUACAGUUGCUCAAGCGCAGGGCAUAACAACCAUCCAUAAAGGGGAGAAAAACUAACCACUAGACCGAGCCUCGAGUGCUGUGCAGGAUCUGUUAGAACAGGAAUCUUCUUCAGACUGCCAUUAUUUUCCUCAGGGAAUGCUAAUCUGCACAACGGUAAUUUGUUAUCUGUGUCUACAAUGGGGAAAAAAUAUUAUAGCAAUUUUCAAGUUAUUCAAGAACAUUUAUCCAUUGAAUCACAUAAGACCAUAAGAGUGUGCAGUGAAGCACAUUUGAAGUAUAAAAGAAGCGAUACUAUCUCGGUUCAAACCUAAAGAAGAGGAAAAUAUGAGUACCAAUUUACCUUGGACUCUUCGGACAGUGGAUAAACACCUCAUCCCUGACUUCGUCACUGACUCUUUGAAGUCUGCGUGUAUUUUGGUUCAUCAUGACCCACUUGCUGGAAAAACAAGUGAACUUCAUUACUUGUGCUGAGCACAGUGAGAGAUCUAGCUCUGUACUAAACUACUAUUAAACUUCAGUUACGUAAACAUGUGUUGAACAGCUCAACAAAGUCCCUAACCGAUCCUCCUUCUUAAGCAUGGAUCAUUAGGGCUGCUAUUAAGUCAACAAGCAGCAAAUAAGUACAGCAUACCACAUCAAAUAAAGUAUACUGCAAGAACAAUUGGAAAGUCUGAUUACUGUCUUAGAAACUUACUUUGCUAGAUUUGCAUGGAGAAGAAAAGGUACAGAUAACAAGGUGGAGAUGAAGUUAAAAAAGGCAAGACAUAUAGUUAGUUAUAAAACAGGUACAAAACAAUUACUUGUCCUUUUUUUUCUUCUUCCACUACACAUAAAAGUGGUUCUAACUGUGAACAAGCAUGAUGAGUAUCUCUAACGGAACAAAAAAGCUUAAGCUUCACAAUUGAGCAGCAUGUACCUGGUAGCUCUUCCAAUAACUUCACCAUUAGCUAAAUCCUUAAGGAUCCAAUCACGCCGAGUACCGAUCUUUCCAUCAGCUUGGCACCAUGUUUCAAUCUCAACAACGUCACCCCUAUACAUAGCAGAAUUACCGCAGUCAGGACUAAAUCCUGUUUCAAGAAGAACGGCAGGAACAAAUACUAUCUUUAUCUUGCAAAUUUACCAAGCGGGGUAUUUGUAGAUCUCAAUGUGCAUCCUAUUUGUGACCCAAAUGAGUCCAAGUUCUCUCAUUGUUGUAGUCGUGGCAAAACCGUCGGUGGAGAACCCAACGCUUUGUGCAUGAUUACACCCUACCUCCUGCAGUUACAAGAAAGCUUACCACAAACAGGCCAUAAAAGAGAAAAUAACAAGACCAUUAUCGACAAGCCCGCCAUUAUGCCAUGACAGAUGGAUCACCCAGGACGUUAGUAUCUCCUUAGAAUCAUUAGAGUUACAUUUCUUAGCAUACUUAUAAUGAAAUGUUAAUUGAUUUAUUUAUUUUGAGAACGGAGAUUAGUUGAUUAUAUGCCAAAGCAAGCAAAUCCACAAGAUUCGGUAACAGCCCCACCAAAAUUCUUCCAGCACGCAGAAUUACUUGAACUGAGUCAAUCCACAAUAGCACUGGUGUUCCCUAUCAGAUCUUUGAGCACAGGAUUUCAAGAGCCCAGGCUUUAGUUAACCAUGGACAAAGGAAAAGUCAUACUACUCCGGUUAGCAGUGUGUGGCACUUACGGACGACGAGCAAAAUUCUGUGGGUGAUAUCGCGGGCGCUAGGAUAGCUAACUUGUUCAAGCUCGAGCUCAACUUAGAAAAAUGGCAAGCAGCAAACGUUUGAGUAUAAUGGUACUAACUAGGAGCUCCCCUUGGUAAAUUCUAAUCGAGACACAGCAGCAGGAGCUCUGAAUCUGCCGCAAGUCUGAAGCUACGAAAAUUCAGAUCCGAACCCCUGGCUCUUGAGACCCCCAAGGGGGGUGGGCGAUGGCAUCUCAUUUCGCAGUCCAGCAGACAGGCCGGCACGAAUCGAGCUUCCUUCCCGGAUCUCCUUGGGGGGCGGAGAGAGAGGGGGAGAGAAUUGAGGAGCCGCGCGCGUACCUGGAGGAGGUUUGCGAUGGUCUCGACGGUGGCGGUCUUGUUGAUGCCGACCUCGUAGCAGCGCACGAUGAAGCUCUCCUUGUAGGAGAGGCCGUCCUCGAGGAGGCUCCCCAUCCGCAGCCGCUCCGCCAGGCCGGGCCGCUCCACCCCCUCGCGCCCCUCGGCCGUGGCCACCGCCGCGGCGACCUGCGCCGCCGCCGCCGCAGCCGCCACGGUCCCCCGCGACGGGGCCCGCGCGGCGCAGCGCACCGCCGCGGGCGCCGUGGCCGCCCGGGGCAGGCCGCGGCGGCCGAGCGGGGCCGGGCCGCAUUGCGGCGGGAUGUGGCAGCGCAGCAUGGGGGGNNNNNNNNNNNNNNNNNNNNNNNNNNNNNNNNNNNNNNNNNNNNNNNNNNNNNNNNNNNNNNNNNNNNNNNNNNNNNNNNNNNNNNNNNNNNNNNNNNNNNNNNNNNNNNNNNNNNNNNNNNNNNNNNNNNNNNNNNNNNNNNNNNNNNNNNNNNNNNNNNNNNNNNNNNNNNNNNNNNNNNNNNNNNNNNNNNNNNNNNNNNNNNNNNNNNNNNNNNNNNNNNNNNNNNNNNNNNNNNNNNNNNNNNNNNNNNNNNNNNNNNNNNNNNNNNNNNNNNNNNNNNNNNNNNNNNNNNNNNNNNNNNNNNNNNNNNNNNNNNNNNNNNNNNNNNNNNNNNNNNNNNNNNNNNNNNNNNNNNNNNNNNNNNNNNNNNNNNCGGUUCCACCGCUCCCCGGCACCGGGUCGGGUCGGGUCGGGAUCGGGGUCGGGUGGGAAAUGCAGUUUUUUUUUUUUUGAGGAUCGGGAAAUGCAGUUUUGGUGCUUCCAGACAGUGAAAGCUGCGAUGGAUGGACGGACGGAUCACGGAUCGCGGCACGUGAGCGAGAUCUCCCUGCUUCUUCUCUCUGGUGCAACGCAAGCACGUGCCCUGGCGCUUGAGUAAUGCCUGCACACACUUGAGGCAAGUCGUCGAUAAAGAGUACCCCCGUGGACAGGGGUAGAAUAAUUAAUAAGGGCUUCUUUGGAUCACGGGAUUUGCAAAACAAAGGAAUAGGAAAAAUGAAGGAUUUGAUUGGCAUGACAUAGCCAAUCCUGUGGAUUUUUUCCAGAGGUCAGACCUCAUGUGUAAAUUCCUUUGGAAUCAGCACCUUGAAGACCCAAUCCUGAGGAAUUUUAAUGGCCCAAUCCUUUGAUCCAAAUGCGUUUCAUAGGAAACAAUCCUGAAGAUUGAUAUCCCAUGAAAAUCCUGUGAAAAUCCUCCAAUCCAAAGAAGGCCUAAUGGACCGAGUACAUGUGUUAGGUGGGCUCCUACUGUCCUCCAGUGUCAUUUUUCAAGGUGGGAUUACCUAACAAAAGAAUGGCAUUGGUCUCUGCCUGAUCAAAGUUUUACUAUUGGCUGAUGCCCAUGAGGGUUUAAGUUCUAGACUUAACACGUAUUGUUCUGAACUUUAUUUUAGACAUUCUGAUGAUGUGCGUUCAGUGAAAGAAGACGUUCCCGUUGACUACAAAGGCGUCUAUGGCGACUUCGUCAAUCUAAAGAUAACGUGACGGUUCAAUCUUUGGAAUGCGCUCAUUGGGGUAGGGUGUGCAUGCAUGCCUUCAUAGGGUAAAUGUGUCUAUAUUUUUUUUUCUAACAAAUUACUAUCAAUACUAUCAUUUACACAAACUUAAUACAACCCCAAAAAAUUGUGCCUCGGCACCGCUUCCUUCGUUGCCAUUGUGGUAUAACACAUUUUUUUUAUCUUUUUUCUCGAAAAGGAUCCAGAUCUUUUGAGACCAUCAAACGACCACUAUCGUCGUCAGAACAAGUCGUCGUCGGUUCGUUGUCGUCGCUCCUCUGUUGGAGCCGGUUUGAUGACCAGCAUUCUAGAGCCGCGGUCGUCGCUGUUGAACCCUUGAAUAGAUCUGAAUCACCUGACAUCAAAUCUCACCACAUGACGAGAAACCCCUCACCACCCCAAGAAAAUGGCAGGAAUCUACGUUGGAGUUUCGCCAACUACGUUUAAAUGGAUAAACCCAAGAAGGAUCAGAGUCCGAAAAACAAAUUCGAAGAAGAAACACUGUCAUCUACCUGAGCGUCGCACCUGCAUGGAAUAGAAAACCUAACAUAAACUACUACUUAAACAGGAGCGGAGCCACCGGGAUUCCUCUCCCGCUACUGGUCACAAGAGCGGUAGGCAAAGGGGGAGGUAUCCACAUGCUUACAUCGCCACGCAUCCACGUACAUGCCCAUCCCGGGUUCAAUUAGGUUCUUAGCAUAAGUCAGCGACAGAGAACUAAAAUGAAGGAGAGAAGAAUCGAUAUUGAAUGGUUCCAUGCAUGCAGCUGGCCGGUGUGCCCGGCUGCCAUGACGCUGAUCAAUCAGACGUCACUUUUUUUUUGAAUUUUCAACCGGGGGGGGGGGGAGUAAUCGCCCCCACCUGAAUUGUAUUCUUUUAUUGCCUAUAGACUUUGCAGCCUAAUACAAGAUAGGGUUCAAGUAAACCAAAAGUACAGGGGGGCACAGGAAGGAGAAAUAAAAGCAAAAACAACACAUGGUGAGGGGGGACACAACACAACAGGGGGCACCACGGGCGCUCGAACUGCAGCGGCGGGCCAAGACUAAACCAUGACACUGCACCGUCGACGCAAUCGAGAAGCACCGGGCAACCGAGACUGCACAACGCCGCGACACCACCUGCGUCAUGGGGUACAUUCGAACGGUCACGCCGGGCCGAGACGACGCCACGGCACCUGUGUGCCACCGGCGUAGUCGAAGGGCAUCACCAAGCAUAGAACUCCACAAGGCACACCCAAGACAUCACAAGACCGGGGGAUGAAGACAGCGCCAUCAAGAUGGAAACAACGGGAAGCGUCGCCGUUGUCUCGGCCAGCAGCAGCUGGCCGACCAUGGAUUUCUCCCAAACCCCGGCCACAUCCUCCUCCGAGGAGACGCAGAGCAACCGCCAAUAGCGCCAAGCAGCACUGGGAUGGACGGCCCCAGAUCCGGGCGAAUCCAACCGGCAGCGACGCCGGCAGGCACCCUUGACGCCGAGAGCCACCAGUGAGGACCACUGGUGCGGCGCCCCCUGCAGGUGAAGCCACGAGACAGUGACAACCCAUCGGGGGAUCUGGGAGGUGGAGGGCUCCCAAGGCAGAGAGCCACGACGCCACCUUCGUUUGGCGAGCCCGCAGAGGAGCACGACGACAACAGAACGAGCAGUGGCGGAGGAGGAAGGAGGAGCCGCGUGGCGGAGCACGGGACGGGGCACAGGGGCAAGGCCUCCAGAUCGGACACUGCCAUGGCAGGCCCAACACGGGGAAGGUCGGGGACGGAGACACCCAUCAACGGCAAGGCCCGGCGCGGACAUGCCCGGCCAGCCGCCACGAGAGGAGAGCCGGCGCGAGCAGCGCGGCAGAGGCACGAAUUGGAGGGGGAACCACCGGUCUUGGGCGCCGCCGGAGCCAGCUCGCAGUGCAGCAUGGGAGGUGGUCGAUGCCGACGGUGGAGAGGGACGAGAUCCAACAGGGGGAGCAUGCCGGAGCCGAGGCAGCCAAGCGGGAUGGCGGCGGGUCCGAAUCCGGCCACGGACAGCGCCCCCGAGCAGGAGGAGGGGCGGAUCCGGAGGCUGGCAAGCCAGAUCCGGCACGGGAAAGGGUGGGAGAGACCAGCUCUGGGCGCCCGCCAUGGCCAUGUCGACGAGCUUCGAUUUGAAUUUGAAGGAGUGGGUGGGGGUGGUCUGGACGGGAGGAACCUCGCCGCCGCUGGCUUCGCCCGGCGGCCUCCUCCGGCGACGGCGAGGAGAGAGAGUGGCGGAGAAGGGCGGAGGGUAGGUGGCGGCGGCGGCCUCCAGAGUCGCCCGAGGAGAGCGGCCCGGGAGGCUCUCUUUUCCUCAAAGAUCAAUCAGACGUCACUAGCUAGCUAGAUGCCCAUGUUUUCGAUCGUGGUCACACUGAAAUCCUCGAUUGCCCGUAGUAGCCUAGUUGAAUUAAUGUAAGGUCUAUCCGAUUUGUUUCUGGUCAGGGGCAGUAAAAAAAUCUCGAUUAGACGCUGCCUCUGGACCAAGCACAUACAGAGUUAAAAUGUACUCCUCUGACAUGUCGUUAAUUAACGUCACUGGUAGAAAAAGAGGCUUCCGUCCAGCCCCAUUAGUCGCGAAACUGUAGGAACCGCGACUAAUGAAGUCUUUAGUCGCGGUUCGGCAGACGAACCGCGACCAAAGGCUUGGGCCAGGGCGCUCGGUGGCCAGCUGGUGCACGUGAGGGGCUUUAGUCGCGGUUGGCCAGGCCAACCGCGACUAAAGGUGCCCAAAGGCCUUUAGUCGCGGUUGGCCUGGCCAACCGCGACUAAAGCUCCUCCCCUAUAUAUACCAGUUCAGCGCACUCACUUAGCCAUUUGGUGCCACUUCUCUUCACAAGGGGGUGUAGGUUUGCUUUUGGUUCCUCUUAUGCACACAAGGUGUUUGAUGAAAUGCCCAACAGCGUGAAACAAACAUGAUAUGAAGUGUUGGAGGCACACUUGAGGUUCCUCCUCGAUCGCGGUUAGCAACUUGAACCUUUCAUGCAUGUGUGUCAUUGAUAAAAUAUGCAUGUGUGUUGUUCAUUGUUUAAUUUCUAUUGUUUAUAGCUAGUUACUUUAACAAAUGCAUGAUGGUUAAUUAUAUAUUUUAUAUUAUAAUAAUGCAGAUGAAUCGGCAAUGGAUGUACGGUAACCGACUCUCCCGCGAGUUCACUACGGGUUUGAAAGAUUUCCUCGUAGUGGCUAAUGCGAACAAGCAGAAGGGUUUUGUUAUCUGUCCAUGUGUUGACUGUAAGAAUCAGAAGGGUUACUCUUCCUCAAGAGAAGUUCACCUGCACCUGCUUCGGCACGGUUUCAUGCCAAGCUAUAAUUGUUGGACCAAGCAUGGAGAAAGAGGGGUUAUAAUGGAAGAAGAUGAAGAAGGGGAUGAUUUCAUCGAUGAAAGCUAUCUUGCUCAUUUCGGUGAUACUUUCAUGGAGGAUGCUGAAGGUGAAGGGGAAGGUGAAGGGGAAGGUGAAGGGGAAGGUGAAGGGGAAGGGGAAGGUGAAGGUGAAGAAGAGGCACGUGAUGAGACCGUUGAUGAUCUUGGUCGGACCAUUGCUGAUGCACGGAGACGCUGCGAAACUGAAAAGGAGAGGGAGAAUUUGGAUCGCAUGUUAGAGGAUCACAGAAAGUCAUUGUACCCUGGAUGCGAUGAUGGUCUGAAAAAGCUGGGCUGCACACUGGAUUUGCUGAAAUGGAAGGCACAGGCAGGUGUAGCUGACUCGGCAUUUGAAAACUUGCUGAAAAUGUUGAAGAAUAUGUUUCCAAAGAAUAACGAGUUGCCCGCCAGUACGUACGAAGCAAAGAAGGUUGUCUGCCCUCUAGGUUUAGAGGUUCUGAAGAUACAUGCAUGCAUCAACGACUGCAUCCUCUACCGCGGUGAAUACGAGAAUUUGAAUGAAUGCCCGGUAUGCACUGCAUUGCGUUAUAAGAUCAGAGGCGAUGACCCUGGUGACGAUGUUGAGGGCGGGAAACCCAGGAAGAGGGUUCCCGCCAAGGUGAUGUAGUAUGCUCCUAUAAUACCACGGUUGAAACGUCUGUUCAGGAACAAAGAGCAUGCCAAGUUGUUGCGAUGGCACAAAGAGGACCGUAAGUCGGACGGGGAGUUGAGACACACCGCAGAUGGAACGCAAUGGAGAAAGAUCGACAGAGAGUUCAAAGAUUUUGCAGCUGACGCAAGGAACAUAAGAUUUGGUCUAAGUACAGAUGGCAUGAAUCCUUUUGGCGAGCAGAGCUCCAGCCAUAGCACCUGGCCCGUGACUCUAUGCAUCUACAACCUUCCUCCUUGGUUGUGCAUGAAGCGGAAGUUCAUUAUGAUGCCAGUGCUCAUCCAAGGUCCGAAGCAACCCGGCAACGACAUCGAUGUGUACCUAAGGCCAUUAGUUGAUGAACUUUUACAGCUGUGGGGCAGACCUGGUGUCCGUGUGUGGGAUGAGCACAAAAAAGAGGAAUUUAACCUACGAGCGUUGCUUUUCGUAACCAUCAACGAUUGGCCUGCUCUUAGUAACCUUUCGGGACUGUCAAAUAAGGGAUACAAUGCAUGCACGCACUGCUUACAUGAGACUGAAAGUGUACAUUUGCCAAAUUGUAAGAAGAACGUGUACCUUGGGCAUCGUCGAUUUCUUCCGAAAAUUCAUCCAGUAAGAAAGAAAGGCAAGCAUUACAACGGCAAGGCAGAUCACCGCCGAAGCCUGCGGAACGCACUGGUGCUGAGGUAUUUGAUAUGGUCAAGGAUUUGAAAGUCAUCUUUGGAAAGGGUCCUGGCGGACAAUCAGUUCCGAAGGGAGCUGACGGGCACGCAGCCAUGUGGAAGAAGAAAUCUAUAUUCUGGGAGCUAGAAUAUUGGAAAGUCCUAGAAGUCCGCUCUGCAAUCGACGUGAUGCACGUUACGAAGAAUAUUUGCGUGAACCUCCUAAGCUUCUUGGGCGUGUAUGGGAAGACAAAUGAUACAAAGGAAGCACGGCAGGACCAGCAACGUUUGAAAGACCCUGAUGACCGGCAUCCGGAAUGGUUUCAAGGUCGUGCCAGCUACGCUCUGACCAAAGAAGAGAAGGUCAUCUUUUUUGAAUGCCUGAGCAGUAUGAAGGUCCCGUCUGGAUUCUCGUCCAAUAUAAAGGGAAUAAUAAACAUGGCGGAGAAAAAGUUCCAAAACCUGAAGUCUCACGACUGCCACGUGAUUAUGACGCAAUUGCUUCCGAUUGCUUUGAGGGGGCUCCUGCCGGAAAAUGUUCGAGUAGCCAUUGUGAAGCUAUGUGCAUUCCUUAAUGCAAUCUCUCAGAAGGUAAUCAAUCCAGAAGAUCUACCACGGUUACAGAACGAUGUGAUCCAAUGUCUUGUCAGUUUCGAGUUGGUGUUCCCGCCAUCCUUCUUCAAUAUUAUGACGCACCUCUUGGUUCACCUAGUCGAAGAGAUUUUCAUUCUCGGUCCUGUAUUUCUACACAAUAUGUUCCCCUUCGAGAGGUUCAUGGGAGUAUUAAAGAAAUAUGUUCGUAACCGUGCUAGGCCAGAAGGAAGCAUCGCCAAGGGCUAUGGAAAUGAGGAGGUAAUUGAGUUUUGUGUUGACUUUGUUCCUGACCUUAAGCCGAUUGGUCUUCCUCGAUCGCGGCACGAGGGGAGACUAAGUGGAAAAGGCACGAUCGGAAGGAAAUCAACGACAUGUAUGGACGGCCAUUCUCUGACUGAAGCACACCACACUGUACUGACCAAUUCCACCUUGGUGGCUCCGUACUUUGAGAAACACAAGAAUAUUUUACGCUCGGACAACCCGGGGAAGCCUGAAUCCUGGAUUAGGAAGGCCCGCAUGGAGACUUUCGGCAGUUGGUUGAGAAAACAUUUAAUGAAUGACAAUGAUGUUGUAGAUCAGCUGUACAUGUUGGCCAAGACACCAUCUUCGACUAUAACGACUUUCCAAGGGUACGAGAUAAAUGGGAAUACAUUUUACACGAUCGCCCAAGAUAAAAAGAGCACCAACCAAAACAGUGGUGUCCGCUUUGAUGCAGCAACCGAGAAUGGGCAAAAGGUCACAUAUUAUGGUUACAUAGAGGAGAUAUGGGAACUUGACUAUGGACCCUCCUUUAAGAUAUGGGAACUUGACUAUGGUUACAACGUCUCGAUCACCGUCCAGGAGUGGAAUAAGCCAAAGAAGGCACGAAUUGCUGGUUUCACUUUUGUCGAUAAGAGAACAAAAAAAGAUUGCUUCAAGAAGCUUAUGGAACAUUUCGUUCUACCUCCGGAAUACAACAAAUUCGAUGAGGAGGGUAACAAGAUUGAGGAAAACAAGGAGAGGAGGAGGCUAGUCAAACAGUUCGCUCUUCAUAAGAUGGCCGACGCAUUCCGGAAAUUCAAGCAAAAUCUAGCCCAUGACUUUGUCAAGCAGAACAAGACUCCGGAUUUCAAAGGACAAUAUGAGAAACUGAAACAUGAUUGGCCAGAAUUUGUGAAGCAAAAGAAAUCGGAGCAGUUCAUUCAAAUAUCGAAAAAAAUAAGGAAAAUGCGGCUAAGAAGGAGUACAAUCAUAUUAUGGGGUCAGGAGGGUAUCGCCUUUGGGAGCCUAGGUGGGAGAAGAUGGAGAACGAGCUGAGGGCGCGAGGAAUCCGUCCAGGUACGGAGGGAUGGGACCCAAGGGCCAAAAGCUGGUGGUACGGGCAUGGGGGAACGCUGAACCCGGAGACAGGGGAGUGUGUUUACCGGGGCAAAAUAAUUAAACCCACCCAAGCCCUUAUUGACGCAAUGAGGGAUGCUCAAGAGGGGAAGAUCAAGUUCAACAGAGAGAACGACGCGCUGACAAAAGCCCUCGGGAAUCCUGAACACGGAGGACGUGUACGAGGCAUGGGGCACAUUCCGUGGAAAAUAGGGUUCCCCCAGAACGAUGACCCGUACGGUUACAGAAGCCGGAAGAUAAAGAUGGAUCGGGAAGCAGAUGUUGUGGCACGGUUGGCAUCGGAAAUGGAUGUGAUGAAGAAAACCGUGAGUGUACUAGUAUCCGAACGAGAUGCAGCUCGGGCGCAGCAUGAAGAUCAUCUAGCGGAUCUCAGAAGCCAGCAGCGGAGAAGCAGUGUGGCUUCCACGGAGGCCCCACCGGCUGGUGCAGAUGCACCGACGAUCGAAAUUACUGCACCGGAGCCUCUGGUGGUCGAAAUUACUGCACCGGAGCCUCUGGUGGUCGAAAUUACUGCACCGGAGCCUCCUCGCUACCCUGUGGACGAUAUAAAGGAGAUGAAAGAAUGUCAUUUGUAUUAUCCUAUCGGGAACAUGUCCAUGAAGGUAGCCAUCGGCAGUGCUUUACCAUGUUUACCUGGAGCACUCCACCACAACAACCCCAUUCAAGAUGGCUAUGCUCGUGUCACGGUGGAGGACAUAGUCCAAGGGUUUGAGGACCUGGAGAUUGACAUUGCUACACCUGAAGGGGAGAAAAGACUUGGAGAUGUCAAGCGCCAUUUCAUUCUAUGGCAAAAGAAGUUUAUCAAGUUUCCAGGCGAGGCGCCAAGGACAACAAGUCCACCCCCCUACGGUGGUGGCGGUUCACCUACACCUCCGUCACGUCAGCCGACGCCCCCCAGUCCACAACGUCCGGCGGGUGAUCAGACGCCGCCCCCCAGUCCUCGUCCGGCGGGUGAUCAGACGCCGCCCCCCAAUCCACCUCCGGCAAAGAAGCAGAAGCAGUCCUGGAUUAUUAACCCGGACCCUUAUGUACCUAAGACCACAAAGGUACUGGAGCCAUCAUUGAAGCCUCUCCCCACAAGGCCUUGGGAACGUAGUGCCGAGGAAACUGCCGCGGCCGCGGCUGCUAAUCAUGAGAAAUGGAAGGCGGACUGCAAGAAGAAAAGAGAGCCCGAGCCCAAGCCAGUAUUUUCUGAUGAGCAAAAGAAGUGGGCUAAGUCAUUUUUGAGCACACCGUCCCAAGCCGCGAAGAAUCUGCCUGACGACUAUGCACGUGAACUUCGUAGGCAGGCACUCAUGUUGAAGGAGAAGAAAGAGUGGGCGGAGAACCAGGAGAACAAAGCCUUGGAGGAGGCCGAGAAAACGGAAUUAGAAAGUAAAAAAAGCGGGAAACGAGUUGCCCAGCUCGGGGAACAAAGUAAACAAUCGAUUGCCCCGCUUAUAGUGAAAGCCGCCGGUCCGGAUGACCCCGAUAUCAUAGCAGCUGCGGCAGCACAUGGAUUGACUGUAACGAGUGCCAGAGAACAAGCGGCCAACUUAGGUAUUACUCUUCGUGAACUGUUAGGCCUUGAUGAGGCGCCAGUGAAGGAGGUAGUAAUUACAUAUGUGAAGAAUGGGCCUCUCGUCGAGCCUACGCAGGAAGAGGAUCUACCUCCACAAAUGAAAGGUCUGCUGAAAUGGUACAAGGGUUACAUAAAAAAUAAAAACGCCAAAGAAUAUAUUUAUGCGGAAGUUAGAUAUGAGCAUCACUUCAAACAUUACUAUGUACAAAUUCAUCUGAGUGAAUUGUUCCAGCUUUUCAAUCUGCGCGAGCUCGACAAAUCUAUCAUCAGUUGCUACGUUCUGUAAGUGAUUUAUUUCUACCCCAUCUCGUUCAUAUUGCCUGCACUAUAUAUAUGUCCUAACUAUAUUGUUGUGUCCGCUAUUAUACAUGCAGAAUGAAGAUUAAGGAAUGCAGAGUAAGGAACAUCCAUGAUGUUGGGUUCAUUGACCCACACAUCGUUAAUGGAUAUGUGUUGGAGCAUCACCCCGCUGACAUGGAGGCAGACCUGUGGCAGUUUCUUACAAAGCAGGAACUCAAAAGUGAUAUUCUAUUUCCUUACCAUUUUGGGUGAGUGUUUUUGUCUUGAGCACAUUCUCUUUUGUUUACUCCAUGCAUGGUAUGUGGCCGGCUAAUCGAUGAGUUAUGCAUGACGUACUGUGCAUGUAUCGUGUCCGCAGGUUCCACUGGAUUCUGCUAGUAAUUAAAGUUGACACCUCAGAAUGUCUCGUCCACGACUCUCUGAAUAAGGAUCCAAAGCUUUGGGUCGACAUGAGAAGAAUGAUGCAGAAGUAAUUAUUUUCAUUCAUUUGCGCUCUAUAUCGAUUGGCCUAUUUUGUUCAUUUCCUAAUAUCAAGUAACUAAUAACUCUCUUGUUCAUUUAAUUUUCUUUGCCUCGUAGGGUUUGGAGACGGUUCGUAGAUACAAAGGUCGGUGAAUUCAAAAAAGAGCUAGAAUUCAAAAGGGCAAAGGCUAAGAAUGGUGAGGAUAUUCAGCCAGCGGGGACCAAUCUAUGUGCAUACUAUGUCUGUGAGAUGAUCCGGAGAUACACCUCUGAGCGGGUUCCGAGUGAUACCAAUGCUUAGAGGAAUAACCUCCGGAUGAUGCUUAGUCCAGAAGCUCGCUUCCGACCACUUCAAGAGGAACUAGCUGGAUGGUUCAGGAGGGAAGUCCUCCAUCCUAAAGGAGAACACCAUUACGAGGACGUAGAACUUUAUAUGCAUUAAAUUAUGUAUGGAAACUUGUUCAAAAUUGUAUAUGGUCAUCCGAUGAUAUUGAAUAUAUAUUGUAUAUUCCUCUUGAAUUCUUUUUGGUUCUAAUUUCAAAUUUGUUUGAAAUUGUACAUUCAUAUGCAUGUAUGUAGUACCGUAGAAUAUGUGAAACUCCUUCAAAAUUAAAAUAAAGCACAAAAGAAAUAAAACAAUACAAAUUAAACAGAAAACAGGUUUAGGGGGGGGGGCUAAAACCCUAAACCUGCGGCGGCCUUUAGUCGCGGUUGGCCAGAAGAACCGCGACUAAAGGUCCUCCGCCCCGACGGCCGCCUGGCGCCCACGUGGACGGGCCUUUAGUCGCGGUUCUUAAGCAACCGCGACUAAAGGAUGGGGCAUUUAGUCGCGCCCGUUCGGUCGCGGUUGCGCAACCGCGACUAAUGGCAGUUGCGAACCGCGACCAAAGGCCCUUUUUCCACCAGUGCAUAUGCAAACGAGCAAGCUUGAAGCUAUAGCGUACUUACUCUGAUAGGUUGUUAAUCAACAUAUGCAGACGAGCAAGAUUGAGAGUUUGAAAUAUUUCAAUGUAUAUCCCGGUGGUUGAACAUCACGGUAGAUCCGAGUUAAAGUUCUUGUACCUAUUACUUUUAAGAAAUGGAUAGGUGUUGGCUUGAGUGUCGAGGAGUAAUUGUCUUCCCAAGCUAAAUCUUUAGUAACCAAGAGUAAUAUGGUUCGGGAAGAAGUGUGUCGAAGGUUUGGAAAUUGCCGAUAAGAAUCUAUCACGGGUGAAUUUAACCAAAGUCUGGUCAACUUUGGGUCGAAAAAAAAUAAAACGGAGAGAGAUUUGCUUCUGUGUUAAAUCACAAGUCCCUCCAAUCAGACGUAGCUUCUUGCAGAAGAGUGAACUGGUCUAUCAAAUUAUUUGUCGCUAUCCAGCAUUACUGGUUCAUUCUACUCUACUCAUAUUUUCCAGCAGUUUAAUUUCGGUGCUCUGUGCCUCGAUAGAUAUCUCUGAUCAUUUUCUUUCCCUUUCGCAACGUAUAUCCCAGCUGGCUAGCUCAUCAAUUGACUGUGUAUGUAUGACGAAAACAUAUCGACGGCUGAAACAUGCUACUUCCGGUCCCGAUGGAUAUAUAUGCGGUCAAUCCGAUAUGGUCGCAUGCGAGAUGACGGCUAAACCAAGUGCAUAUUCACUCCGAACGAGGAUAUUCGUGGUUGACACCUGUUUUUAGCUAGGUCAACUCGCCAAUCGAUCAACAGCCGACUGCAUGUUAUAUAGUAGUACCAGCCAAUGUUUUCGUGAUGUGUGUACGCCAUGCAUAUUUUACGAAAAAGGUUCCCCGCUUUAUAUUAUAAUAAAACAAUCACCACUACUACCUCCAUCCGGGUUUAUUGGUUUCCAUUGUAUUUCGUGCCAAAUUUUGACCAUAGAUUAAACUAACAAAAUAUUCACACAUGUCAUCAAAUAUUAUAUUUUUAAAAACUAUGUUUCAAUAUGAAUCCACUGAGAUAAUUUUUCUUGACAUGCAUUCACAUCUUGUUAGUUAAAUCUUUAGUCAAAAUUUGACACAAACUACAACGGAGACCUACAAACCAGGACAGAGGUAGUACAUCCAAAGCAUCGAUACAAACUCACACCAUACACACCCAAGGCGAGAUACAAGUAAGUCGGGCAAUGAAGCACACCCUCAACGACAAUCAAGCACCUACAAGAUGUGCAAAAGGAACCACUUAGCGCCGACGGAGACUUCCAAGAGCAAUCGUUCGGGAGGGGUGUGUGACGAACCAUGCCAGACCAAGGGCUCCAAGACGAUGCCUCCAAGAAGGGUACGACUACAGAAUGUCGCCACCGUCCGAUCCGAAGAUCAAGUUUUCACUCGGAGCGAGACAGAGGAGAGGGAGCACCACGACGGAGCCUACAGGGAGGAACACGACGUCCACGGACGCCGCCACCAUCGGCCAGUGCACGAACUGGACAGGUGGUGUACCCCCGGUGCUUCAACCCCUCCGUCGCAUCCCCGACCCGCCAACCACUCGCAGCCAUGCCGCCCAAGUGGCCAUGGUUGUGCGCCCGCAAUCGAGAAGCGUCGUCCGCCCACGACAGACGCACCUCUCACCCCUAGGACCACCGCCCUGCCACCAUACCACCGCAAAAGCCACCAAAGAACACAACUUUGACCAGAUCUACACCCCCAACCGACUCCGAAGCUGCCGGCAGACACCUUGCCACGAGAAGGACUACGACCAAACGCCGGCCGGGGGAAGGGGGAGGUGACGAAGCAGCCCAAGGCCAAGAUCGGCGAUGGGGCACACGACAGUGCCCCCAUCCACCAGCCAGCCUCCCCCCCCCGGAAACCAAUUUCGCCCCCAAAGCCACAGAUCCGGACCAGCCAGAGUGCACCGGCCGCUGUUGGAUGACAAAGAGGGGAAGGGGAACCAGAUUGUCCGUCGUCUGGCCCAAGGUAAGCCAGCAGGGGGGGUCUUCCCGUGUCGAGUGUCGCCGUCCCGCCGCAAAGGGCCCUACUGGACGGGGAUGCCCACCUCCACCGUUGUCGUGCCGCCCCCUCCCCCACCAGGGAAGCCACAGAGAGAGGGGCCGCCCGCGACCCGGUCAACCUCGACCCGCAGCGCUGCCGGGAAGCAACUGUCGUCGACACCACCAACCGGCCUGCACCACCGCCUUGCCGCCUGUCACAUCACCACCACGCCACCAUCGUUGGCCCACGCCGGAGCGUCGCCGCGCCCGGCAACGAGCACUGCGUCCCCGCCCGCGUCAAGCCCCCCGCGCGAGGAGACUAGAGGGCCUCGCCGCCGCCAGCGACGACCGGGCUUCGCCCGCUCGCGCCCCCUGGCGGCGGCGGGGGAGGAGGAGAGGAGGAGGGGAGGGUGGGCGGCGGUGCUAGGGUUCGCAUCCCGGACACUCACGAGAGCGUCGCGGGAGGGGGAAGGGGGAUUCAUGCCAUGCACAUACCGUUAAGGAGACAAAAAUCUAAGAAAACGGACAGGUCCCACUCCUCUUGUUGCCGACGAGGCUUCAACAUGAGGGAGAGGAGGUGGACCGAUGCGGUGGCGGCGAUUUUGAAUAGGGGUGUCCAUACCUCAUCUACUGUUUGUGGUUCUUUCAUGUUAAUCAUGCGUUGUUGGACUUGUAGACAAGCUUAGGGUGCAAAACUAAAAAUGUUACACGUGGGUUGUUGGAUCUUUGAUAGAUGGUUUAGAUUGGUCAUGUGGGAGGGGGGAGGGGUUGUGGAAUGUACAUAGCCCCCGCACCAACUUAAACGUGAUCAAUCUAGGCCAUCCAUAAAAAAUUCAAUGGCGCACAUACAUUUUUUUGCACCUUAAGAGUUGAUUGAAUUCUAGUCGUCUCCACAAGUUUGUAAGGUUUACGAUGAUGCUGCAUGAGUAAAUUUGUGGCAUCGACCAUCCAAUCAAAAGCAUGUCAAAAUGCCAGACAUGUGUCACCGUUCGUUGGAAGGUGGUGAUAAAAACACAGAACCGGAAAAUGCUGAAGUUCCCUGUUUGUUGAGGCUAUGUUAAGGAAAUUUCAUUUGUAUGAUUUGUGUUUUGUUUAUUUAGCAUUCUUUUAGUAACCUAACCAAAUUAGCAAAAAGAGUUUGCUUGUCAAAACCGAUAUAUAAAUCCAAUUCAUCCUUAAGAUGGUCGUAUUGAUUGAUCGCCUACUAUAGAUGGUUGAACUAUCGUCGAAGAAAGAUUCAUGAUUGAAAACCAAUACUAUCAUUUCGCAUUUAAAAAAAAAGGCAAUACCAUAUUAAACCAAUUGAUCGACAUAGAUGAACUGACAGAAUUAACAAAGAGACAUUGACGGCUACAUCCGUAUCUAAAAUUAAUUUGUUGAUGUGGUUGCCGAAGAGAGUCGGUAGUUAAGACCGGUAAAUAAAGUCAAUGUGACCGAUCACCUGCUGGAUAGGUUUUCACUUGCAUAACAACGAACAAUCUAGCGCGCGGCGGUAAAGACAUCUAUACUUCUAGAUAGAGGCAGUUUUUCUUCAGAAAUGUUCUUUGGUGGGUUAGAGAAAACGGAUGCGAUCCGAGGCCUCGAUCGACAGCAGGAGCAUGCCCACCGUACGAGAUAGGUGGACGGUGCCCAUCCACCUGUCCUCGUGAGUGAGACGUGUCUCAGAAAAGGAACAUAGUGAUGAUCGCCAGCACAGCCCAUCUUAAGACGUCAUCAGGGCUAGCAUGGAACAGCAACUGCCUCAUUUAGGCCCGUCCGCAUCGAUGCAGUUGCAACCAAUUUGUGCGGUACAUCAUCAAGGCAGGUGCGUGCGUGCACGAUCAUCUGAGAGGCGCGUACACCAGGAGAUGCAUGCAUCCAAGAAAGACCGCAUGGCUGCGAUGCGACAUUGCGAGCACAGCAGGAGAGACGGCGAUCGGCUCAGUCGGCGUGGUAGAGACGAAAAACGCCACUGACUAGUCUAGUCCUUGAGACGCGCGCAAACGUGCUGGCACAAAUCAUCAUGUUUGGACGGACCCUACGUAAGCAAAUGUGACCGAACAUGUGUUCAAUCUGUUAGAUCGAUCGUCCUCCAUCAUAUCCAUAUAGCGCACGUAGCACGAUCGAUCGAGCUCAUGCCUCCUGUUUCUAUGUGAAACGGAGCCGGAGAGGUUGCUUCCCUGUUCAUUCAUCCAAAAAAAAGCUCAUGCCUCGUGCAGUGCACGAAGGUAUGCAAAGGGCCUCUGAGCGUGAGAAGGUGAGGCGACGCGCGACGCCGAGGCAAAGACGGCGUGCCGGCCCAUCGCCGUGGCAGGGGUCGGUGGUUCAGAUGGCAGGGGCGACGGCAAUGGCGACUGCGGCUAGAGGGAGAAGAGGAUUGCGGUCCGUCAAAUAUAGAUCGGACGAUGGAGAACAAAGUGACCAACGAAAAAAAAAUGACUCGUCAGAUUAUUAUUUUUUUGACUAAAAAUCGACCCAUCAGAUGCUUCUCCUGCGCAUGGACGCAACGACCCAAUGCUAACGGAAACCAACAUCCUACCUUUUUUUUAGGUGUAGCAACAUCCUACCUACGUGCGGGAUAGUAAACGUGCACCCCGUCACGGUAGACCGGCCCAUUUACACGUUUUGUGUUUUCUUUGCAAAAUAUAACUCUAUAGACUAACAACGACAAAGUACUAAAAAAGACUAAAACGACAAAAAGAGAUAAACAGUUUUGAAAAAUACAAAAUACAGAAAAUUAAAAAAUACGAAACAUGUUGACCCUGUAUUUUUUUAAAUCGUCAAAGGUUUGAAAAAUAUUCACCACGUGAUUGAAAAUAUUAAUCAUAUAUUUUAAAGUAUUUUUGGCAUGUGUUGAAAAAUGGUCAUCACAUAUUAAAAAAAGAUCUGUUACGUAUUAAAAAAUCUCAUGUAUUUUUUAACUUUCAUGAAGUAUUCUAAAAAAAUUAAACAUAUACUAGAAAAAUGUUCAUUGCAUGUUAAAAAGUUGUCUCAUGUUUUGAAAUAUUAUUGCUAUUUAAAAUGUUUACUGUGCAUGUAAUAAUGCUCAUCGUGAAUUACUAGAAAGUCCAUCUUUAUCUUUUUUUUUGCGAUGGAUAAAGUCCAUGUUUAUAAAGUUGCAUAUAGAAUAGAAAAAAAACUUGAAGAACAAAAUUAUAGAAAAUGGGAAGAAAAGAAAACCAACAUCGGCAUCCAAUGCCGUCCACACCCUUCUGGCAACCGGAUCCACGGAAGGACAAAUGCCAUCAGUGCAUAGAAUUUUGCAAGCUCUAAUUUGUUUCAGCCAUAAAUCAAUAAUCGAAUCGAUGGACGACACUUUUUGGAUGCGAGCCGUGCUCAGAUGCUACCAUGCUCCCACUGUGAUAUUGAAGAGCUGAGAUGCGAGACGGGGCUUGUUUAGUUUGCUUAUGGGUAGUGCUACCUAGCACAUGCAACGAUCUAAAGCAUCCGAUUUCAGACGCCUGUGACUCGACAUGAACCAAACACGCCCGAGACGAAUCACCGUCAAGAUCAUGGUCAACCAAUCACUAAUUUCGGAUAAUUUCACUAGUUAGCCCCGAAUUCGGAGAGGAUUCUAGCUAGGGUUUAUAUUAGCAAAGGGAAAAGUAGAGGACAACCACUCCAGUGGCGGCUAGGGUUUACAUCCUGAUUACAACUCGAUGCACUAUCCUAGGUUUAAAAAGGAGCCAUUACACUGAAGAAGUAAAAGGCGAAAAGAGAAAGCCAAGUGCGACAUGAUCAGAAACAAAAAAAAAGGCGCCAGUUAGGUAAUUAAAUGUAGGCCGUUGGAUGGCGAUCAGAGAUCACUCACGUCAUCUCUUUAGUGGCCCGCGACUGGUUCGCCGGCUACAUCCAGGCCGUCUGAUCUUGAUCGGAGGGUCUUUAGAGCGUGCUGGAACUGAUGGUACAGCUAACUGAAGAUAAUAGUCAGUGUAGAUUCAGUAAUGAGCCUGACACUCGCGCACCCAACAAGUUCUCCGCCCCCACGAUAAGCCCGAGUUAACUAUCCAACGAAGCCUAGAACGAUGUAGUACACGAUCAACACGGGCAACGACGCCAGCGUCCCGAAUAUAACCCUGCAAGAUUCAGCACAGUUUCAGACAAAACGUACUACGCGUUCAGAAACGAAGCCUAAUUAAGCAAGCAGACGCAGGUAUAAUACCACUCCAUUACUUACGCGGUGCUCAGCACAUCGGCGUGCAGGCCGUACUCCUUGGCGAACACGAACGUGGUGAUGGACUGGGGGAGCGCAGCCUGCCGGUACAUCGAUCGCCAGGUGAAGCAAGAGCGUUAACACGGCGAAAAACAUGCGUGUCAGUCGAUGUAGCGGACAUCAUUCAGAAAAAAAACUUUUGAAGUAGAUUGUGCUGUGACCUGUAUGAUGGCGAGGCGCAGGACGUCGCCGCGGAGCCCCAGGGCGACGGCUCCGGCCGCGGUGGCCGCCGGGCCGGCGACGAACCGCAGCGCCAUGCCCAGCGCGGUCAGGCCGGCCCCGCAGACGAUGAUCUUCUCCUGCAGCGCCAUGAACAGGCCUGCAUGCCACCAACCAAUCCAUCGAUAAACAGAUAGAUACGGUAGUGCCUCUCGUUAAUUUCUUGACAGUUGCUCCGACGAUUUGCUAGCUUACCCAUGCUGAACAUGGCGAGCCCGACCCCGGUCCUGGACAUGAUCAGCACCGAGCCCUCGAUGAUGCUCGGCGUCACGAUGUGCCACCUGCAUAUGCGCAGAAUAAAUUAAGCAACGGCUGAUAAAAAAUACGUUCAGAAGGAUGCCAAGUGCCACUGUGUCAGUGUGCCAGUGUCAUUCAUCUCAAAGAAACAGAAAUAAAGCUGAACUCUAUGCCAAAUUGUUUCCCGACGGGGCCAUGUGCUACUUUUUCUGCAGCAGUAGUUCGAUUGCAAAGUGCACCGGAUGCCUGAAAUUGAUUUAGUUAUAGAUUGUUGAGCAUAGUUGUUUAUUCGUCUGUUCCACUAACAAGCGGUAUUUGUUCUGCCUCAAUUAUUUCUUAGUGUGAACCACCUAAGCUUGCUUAACACUUUAGGAGGGACAAAGAGUACAGGUUCCGUUAACUACUUGAUGCAACUCUGCGUGAUUAUCAUAUGUUGGGAUUAUAUUGUUGUGCUGUGAAUCGACCAUUCACAGUUUAAUGGUAGGCCUACAACUUUUCAGUUUGCACCUCUUGCUACAACACCUACCGGUCUCUUCAUAGGAAAAAAUAUCACAUUCGCCAGUGUUAGAACAUAUUGUUUUUUAAGUGAUGCAUUUGUGAUUUCAUGUGUGUUAAAUUAUUUGAGAUAUUUCUUGAAUUAAUUGAUUUCCAACAUAAAUUUGUGAACCUUUUGGUUUUUAACAUUAACAAUUCCCAAAUUGUAAGUAAAUACUUAUAAAAUUUUACAUAUUUUGUUUUCUAUUUUUUUUACCUUUCUACCUUUAAUUCGAUAUUGUCAUCUGUUUUUUUUCAUUUUUUCCCUUCAAAUCCUCCUGAAAAUUUCUCACCAUUUUAUAACUUGUUUUAUUUUGUGUCUUGACGGGGCUACAAUGUGUAUGAUUGCCUCAUAUGACUUUGAUGGUCACAAAACCAAAUACGGCCAGCAUUGAAAGUAAAGGGUGAAAACUAUAUUGCAUUGGAUUCGGGACAAAAACUAACAUUGGAUCGAUUUUGUAAUAAAUGAGGUUUGGAUUCAUGUUUGAUUUUCCAUGGAACUGAUGUCAAACAGAUGCACUCCUUGGGAAGUUCUACUGUCAUCCUAGCUAUGAUUUAAAGUCCUUUAUUCACAAGAAUUUUUGGCAAGUUUCUAAUUUUUUUUAUCAUUCCUUCUUGACUUUCUUGCGUGUUAUGUUUUCCCUCCCCUUCUUCGGCGGCACGUUGAUGCCAAACGGGCGUAUAAGGUUCCCCCGAGUCUCCCCAUCACAACGGUGUCGUCUACGACUGUGCCGAUGACUCGAUGGCGUAUUUUCAGGUCGACCAUUCUGGUCGAUGAGAUUAUAGUUUGAAAGGCUUGUUGGCGCGGCGACAAAUGACUUCCCUUUAUCGUUUCAGAACCGGCUUCCUCCUGUGCUUGUGAGGCUUGUGAGAAAUAAUGGAGGUUUGACUCUUGUAUCUGUGGCUCUUUCAGCGGUAACGGUUUCUUCUCCGCGAUGUUGGUUCGGCAAGAUGUGACCUUGAUGACUUCCCGUCCGUGAUCGAAAACAACAAGCUGGCUCCGAUGAUGGAGCGGCAUGAGGCAGGCGCCGUCUGCCUGUUCGGGUGAUAAAGGCAGUCAACCCUCAUGGACUUUGAUGUGCAAGUAUUCAGUGGUAUUUGUAGUGGUUUAUUUGACCCAUAUAUCUUUUUUCAAAAAAAAUGAAAUAACAAAAGAAAUCUAUCAAAAUUCUAUACUGCAAGAGUGGUUUGCUAUCCUUAACCCAACCAAUAAGUUUUAUUUUCGAUGACACAUCCCAAUCACAUUUUCCCAUUAUGUCAUACCAGUCUGUGCAUAUAUGCCAGCACCAAAACGAGGAUACAGACCUAUAUGUGGUUGGAUGGUUAGGUGAACCGUGGACAGCGGUAUCCCCAGCACAUCAGAGUUCAAGUCAUGGUGCUCGCAUUAUCUUGGAUUCAUUUCAGGAUUUCCGGCGAUAAGUGUUCAGUGGGAGGAGACGUUCCCCUUGACUACGAGGUGUCUAUGGUGAGACUUCAUCAAUCUCAAGAUGAUAUGACAGUUCAGUCUUUCGGAGGUGCUCAUAGAAAUAGCAUGUGUGUGUGUGUCUUCACAGGGAUGAGGGUACACACAUGAUCGCCUGUGUCUCUUUGUUCUCAAAAGCAAAAGGCACCAAAACGAGGAUGUGAUCCUGCCACACUAUCGAGACCGUCUUGACGUCCGACUCGUGCGUAACAACAUCACAUCCUCCCGGAGAAAAAGUUGCACGUAGCUAAGAGUGGUGCGUGCAUGCAGAGAAAUACGGAUCGUACCUGUUUGUGACGCAAGACCAGGCGACCCCGAGGACGCCCGCGUAAACGUUGGGAUUCCGUGCCACCUUGAGCCAGACCGCUCUGACCAACGGCCAUACCGGCUCGCGCCGCCGCCUCCCCUCCGCGCCGCCGUCCUCCACGUCGUCCUCGCUCGCUGAAACCGCUGCCGCCGCGUCAGGCUUCCCUGCGCCACCACCGCACGCACGCCUGACCUCGAACGCCAGCAGCAGCAGCGGGAAGUAGACGAUGAUCUGCACCACCGAGAUCUGCACGACGAGGUCGCGCGCCCACCCGCCGUACAUGGCGUCCAGCAGCGGCACGCCCACCACGAGCGUGUUGUUCAGCGUCGCCAGCGAGAAGCCGGUGAUGCACCACGAGGAGGCUAGCUCCCCGCCGCCCCCGCCGCGCUUGGCGCCACCGCGGCAGCAGCGCGUGGACGCGGCGGCCCAGGCGGCGAGGGCCAGCGCGACGGCGAGCUUGGAGAGCGCGUCGGCGGCGAGGACGCGGUAGUUGAGCGCGUAGGGGUCCAUGCGCGCGGCGAAGUCGAAGGCGAAGAAGGGCACCGCGAAGUAGGCCACGAGGCGGUUCACGGCGUCGCACUGGUCCGGCGUGAAGAGCUUCCACCACCGCACCGAGCCGUAGCCGAGGCCCAGGGCGAAGUAGAGCGGCGCCAUGGCGGCCACCACCUUGUACACGUCGCCCCAUCCGAUCAUCUCCUCCGCCACGCUCUGUUCGUGUGUCACAACUCACAACUCACAAGCGCGCGAUGUGUUUCGGUGCCGUUUCUGGGUGCCUAUAUGUGGGCUCGAGGAUGCAGUUGCAUGCAUGUAUACGGAACAUAUUCUGAUUUCCAGAACUUUGGCAUCGAACAGAAAGUAAGAAAGGGAUUCACAGUCAGCAUCAGCAUCAUUUCACCAGGGAUAGCCGUAGUGCGCAGCGCAACCUCCGCACUCUUCCGCUAUCGCUCAUUCUUCUCCCUCCCCUUGUUUUUUCUUCCUCGCCGCCCACUGCCCCCUCCACUCCCCGGGAUCAGGGCAUUCUCUCCUUACUUUUCCAUUCACGUCGAUAUGGAAACAAUGAUUAUGUCUCAAGCAUGGAAAGUCUUUGUAGAAAUAUUACUAUGAACUACAUACGAACGUAUAUAGAUGCAUUUUAAGUGUAGAUUCACUUAUUUUGUUUCGUAUGUAGUCUAUAGUGUAUUUUUAAAAAAACUUAUAUUUAGGAACAGAGGAGUAUUAAGGCUUCUUUGGGAAGGCCACAAUGAUUCAUGCAUGGCUAGGUUUAUAAAAUUAAUCUAUUGCAAGAAUUUUUAGGUCUAUUUGAUUCAAAGGAUUUUGAAAGGAAUCUUAAAGGUCCUAAGGACCUUUUUCCUACAUGGGUUGUUUGUUUCGCAGGAUUAUAGUUCAUAGGAAUCUUUCCUUGGGAUUGCUUUAUAAUAGAUUUCAUAGAAAAGUUUCCAUCCACCUCGACCUUGUAUGAAGAUUACUACGUUUAUACUGAGCAUAAUCAAAUGUCUAUACUAUCUCAUACUCCCUCCGUUCGGAAUUAUUCGUCUAAGAAAUGAAUGUAUCUAGAUGUAUUUUAGUUGUAGAUACAUUCAUUUUUAUUCAUUUUUUGUGACAAGUAAUUCCGAACGGAGGGAGUAGUAUUUUUUAGACACAUUACAAAUGCAGACGCUCAUACACUUAUCCCUAUGAACACACAAACAUACACUACCCAUAUGAUCACCUCUAGCACAAUAUUUUGAGAUUGAUGAAGUCGCCACAGACAGCUUAGUAGGAACGUCUUGAACUCCGAUGUGCUGGGAUACCACUAUCCGCCUAACCAUCCAACCACAGAUUGGUUCGCUACAAUCUCAGAGUAUUGAGGAUGACAUGUUACUCUAUCUAUGUGUUUUUCCUAUUCACACGUUUGAGAAAUCCUGUAAAUCAACAAAGAGACAUAACUUAGAAACAAGACUUAGCUAGGUAGCUGUCUCAUGAGCCGCUCUCUUUAUUUCUCUUGGAGAAUGCUUAAAUCGGCAAAGCCAAAUAUGCACUGCCGCCGCACUACGCCUUGGGUUGGACAUAUUUGUACAUGUAUAUGUUAAGAUAAUCUUCUAUCGGCCCCAUCUCUAGUUUUUUUGUAUAGAUAAGGCUGAAGACUGCCCUUGUACCCAUAUAUACGUGCACCGUGCACCCGAUCAAUACAUCAAGAGCUGCAUUGCCUUCAACAUGGUAUCAGUUUUCCUUCCGAUUCAACCCUAGCUUCCGCUCCUAGCCGCCGCCGCCGCAGCUUCUCGCUGCCGCCGCCGCCGCCAUCCACUUGUGCCGCCGCUGCACCCUCACCCCGCCGCCACGCGCGCCUCCCCACCCCAAUCCCCCUCUCCCUCUCCCCGAGCCGCCUCCCUCCCGAUCGCCAUCUCCACCAGCCGCGCCGCCAUCCCUCCCCUCGGUCGCCGCCGCACCCAUGGCCUCCCCCCACUCCGCCGCCUCCCUCCCCUCCAACUCCUUCGAGGGUCCGGCCCCUCCUCCGGUGGAGGUCGUCCGCGAUCUGGACAUCUUUGCCCGCGUGCCCAUCGUUGUCGACUACGCCACCUCCACCUAUUACACCUGGAAAACCUACUUCUCCCUCGUCUUCCGUGAGUACCACCUCAUCGAUCACGUCGAUGGCUCUGUCGACUCCGGUCUCAUGUACGCGGACGACAACUGGCUGAGCAUCGACGCCACCAUCACUCGCUGGCUGUACCAAAUCAUCUCCAAGGACAUCUUCCACACCAUCGUCUGCGACACUGACGACGCGCAGAUGGUGUGGGCGAAGCUUAACGGGCUCUUCCUCGACAACACCCUCUAGCGUCGCGUAUUUCUUCAGCAGCAAUUUUUUGGCUGCCAUCAGCUUGACUCGUCCAUUGACGAUUAUUGCAUGCGCCUUAAGAAACUCGCUGACGAACUCCGCAACCUCGGGGAGCGGCCUGAACGAGGAGUUCGGCAACACGGCCUCCAACCUCACGUUCCUCCCGGACCCGACCUUUCCUCGGGUCGUGGCUUAUCUUCGGUUGGAGGAGAGGAGGAUGAAGAUGGUGAAGUCCCGGGCCACGCACACGGCUCUCGCGGCGGGCACCUCCCGCACCACUCCUCCCACAGCGCCGUAGCCGCCGCGGCCUCUGCCGCCGCCGCCGGCGUCGUAUUUCCAGGCGCCACCGACGCCCGUCUACCAGCCGCCAUCCCCUUGCCCCCGAUCACCGCGGCGGGGGGCGCCGCGGCAAGAAGCAGUAGCAGUAGCACGGGAGCCGCAACAACAGCAACUGCCCCCGGCCCCCUGGGCCGCCGCGACCAACCCUUGGACGGGGCUGGUCCAUGCGUACACGAUGCCCGUGCCGCGGGCCCCCGUCCCGGCUGGGAUCCUCGGCCCCGCCCCGGUGCGCAUCAGGCGCUCCUCGCCGCCCCGGGCGGCUACCCCGUCGCGCCCCCUCUGUACGCCGCGCUGGGUGGCUACCCCGCGGCCAUGACUGGCUAUGCCGUCCCGGGUGGCUACCCCGCUGCCCCUCCGGCCGCGGCCACCGCACUCCCACCGGCCCCUUGGGACCCGACCUCCUCGCGGUGCUCCACUCCGCCCCUACACCCAACACGUACACUGGAGGCGGCGACUGGUAUAUGGAUUCUGGGGCUACCACCCACAUGCCUUCCAACCCCGGUAACCUCAACUCCGUAUUUUCAGUUUCUACCGCAUGUCGUAUUACUGUUGGGGACAAGUCUUCCCUUCCCAUUACUCAUGUCGGUCAUGGUUCCUUUCCGUCUAACUCUACGCCUAUUCACAUGUCCAAUGUCUUAGUUUCACCUGAGUUAGUCACUAAUCUUGUUUCCGUUUGUUCUCUUACACGUGAAAAAUCCUAUAACUGUUGAAUUUGACGAAGUGGGUUUUUCUGUCAAGGAUGCCCGUACUCGAAUGGUGCUCCACCGAUGUGACAGCCCGGAUGGCCUCUACCCGGUGAACUCCACUGCCACUUCGACAUCCUCUCCGGUCACUCUCUCCGCCACGGUGGACCUUUGGCAUGCUCGGCCGGGACAUCCAAACCCGGCCACCCUUCGUCAUAUUCUUAGGACUUUUUCAUUCACAUGUAAUAAAACCGAUGAUCAUACUUGUCAUGCUUGUCGUCUUGGCAAGCAUGUUCGUCUUCCGUUUAGCGCGUCCUCAUCGGUGGCGUCGUAUCCAUUUGAGUUGAUUCAUAGUGAUUUGUGGACAUCUCCUGUUGCCAGUAAUACGGGUUUUUUAUACUAUCUUGUCAUACUUGAUGAUUUUUUGCACUACGUGUGGACCUUCCCAUUGCGGAGAAAAUCCGAUGCACUCUCCGUUCUCACCACCUUUUACUCGUAUGUUGCCACGCAGUUUGGGCGUCCCAUUCAUGCCUUGCAGACUGACAACGGGAAGGAGUUCGACAACGUCGGGGUUCGCACCCUCCUCAUCACACACGGGACGAUUUUUCGUCUCACCUGCCCGUAUACCUCGCAACAAAAUGGUCGCGCCGAACGGAUUCUUCGCACCCUCAAAGAUUGUGUGCGCACUCUUCUUUUACAUGCCAAUGUCCCGCCCCGGUUUUGGCCGGAUGCUCUCUCCACCACCUCUCUCCUCAUCAACGUCCGUCCAACUCGUGCUCGUGGAAACUUUGCACCACAUCAUCUCCUCUUCGGUAGCCCACCUUCAUAUGAUGAUCUUCGUGUUUUUGGGUGUCUGUUAUCCUAGCGUCGCUUCCACCACUCCUCACAAACUUGCACCUCGCUCCGUGGCAUGCAUUUUUCUCGGAUACCCACCAAACACCAAAGGCUAUCGCUGCUAUGAUCCGGUUUCCCACUGAGUCUUCACUUCAUGACACGUUUACUUUGACGAGAGGUCUUUUCCUUUUCACCAGGUACCGCCGCCGGCCGACUCGCCAUCAUCACCCGCGCCUCCUGGCGCCUCUCGGGGAGGCCGCUCACUCGCGCUCGGUCCCCCUGCAGCGCGUGGGCCUCCCCUGGCUUCGGCGGCCCAGCUGCGCCUGGACCCUACUCUGGGUCCGCGGCGUCGGACCCAGACCUCUCGCCCGCCGGCUCGCAGGCCUUCUCGCCGGCGGUCACGGCGCCUCUGACUCCUGUUGAGUCUGCAGCCCGGUCAGCGAGCGCAUCCCCUACGCCUGACCCGGGCUCCUCGACAGCUUCCGCCGCCCCGGCUGCAUCCUUGCCGGCGGCCACGGCGCCCCGACUCCCGUUGAGUCCGUAGCCCGGGCAGCGAGCGCUUCUCCAGCGCCUGCCCCCGGCUCCUCGAUGGCCUCUUCGCCGGCCUCGUCGCCGGCCCCGCCGGUCGCCCCGGACACCCGCAUGGUCACCCAUGCUCGUGCCGGUAUUCACCGGCCCAGCACGCGUUAUCCUGCGGAUGAGUACCUCCUCGCUGCCUCGACGUCUGCACCGUCACCUCUCCCGUCGUCCGCUCGAGCCGCACUUCGCGAUCCGCAUUGGCUUGUAGUGAUGCAGGAGGAGUUCGAUGCGCUGGUGCGCAACCGCACUUGGCAGCUUGUCCCGCGGCCACCCCAUGCCAACGUCAUCUCUGGCAAGUGGGUAUUCCGGCAUAAGACUGAUCCUGACGGGUCUCUCGAGCACUAUAAGGCUCAGUGGGUGGUCCGCGGGUUUCGGCAACGCGCUGGAGUCGACUUCACCGACACGUUCGCCCCGGUCGUUAAACCAGGCACAAUUCGCGCGGUCCUUCAGCUCGCGGUCUCUCACGCCUGGCCGGUGCAUCAGAUGGAUGUGUCGAAUGCAUUCUUGCAUGGCCAUCUUUCGAAGCAGGUGUUCUGUCAGCAGCCAACCGGCUUCGUCGAUGCGGCUCAACUUGACCUUGUGUGCCUGCUCUCGCGCUCUUUGUACGGGUUGAAGAAGGCCCCUCGCGCCUGCUACCAGCGGAUUGCCGGCUUUUUGCAGCAGCUUGGGUUCCGGGCUACUCGCUCUGUCGCCUCGCUGUUUGUCUUCCACCAGGCUCCGGCAACCGCUUACCUACUCCUCUACGUCGACGACAUCAUCCUGACGGCUUCCUCGCCCGAGCUCCUUCGCCAGCAUACUGCUCGCCUCAGCGCUGAGUUCGCCAUUAAGGACCUCGGCCCGUUGCACUACUUCCUCGGUAUUGAGGUGGUACAACGCGCCGAUGGGUUCUUCCUUCAUCAGCAGCAGUAUGCACAGGACCUUCUUGAGUGGGCAGACAUGCUUAACUGCAAGCCUGUCCCCACGCCUAUCGACACGAAGGCCAAGGUCUGUGCACUCGACGGCUCCCCCGUGCCAGAUGCAGCGUUCUACCGCUCCAUCGUCGGCGCUCUCCAGUACUUGACACUCACUCGGCCCGACCUGCAGUACGCCGUUCAGCAGGUGUGUCUCCACAUGCACGCCCCUCGCGACACUCACUGGAACCUGGUGAAGCGGAUUCUUCGGUACAUCCGCAGCACCACGGCUCUGGGUCUUACGUUGACGGCUUCGCCCUCGACUGUCCUGGUCGCCUACAGUGACGCCGAUCGGGCUGGCUGCCCGGACACGCGACGCUCGACUUCAGGCUACUACAUCUACCUGGAGCCCUCGCUCAUAUCGUGGUCGUCUAAAGGACAACCUACAGUAUCCCUCUCCAGUGCCGAGGCCGAGUAUCGUGUUAUGGCCAAUGCUGUCGCCGAGUGCUCGUGGCUUCGCCAGCUUCUCCAGGAGUUGCUUCUUGAUGUCCAGAAGGCCACCAUUGUCUACUGUGACAAUGUCUCUGCGGUCUUCCUCUCCGCCAACCCCGUUCAUCAUCGUCGCACGAAGCACAUUGAGCUCGACAUUCACUUCGUGCGAGAGCAGGUGGCUCUUGGGCGCGUCCGCGUUCUUCAUGUUCCCACUGCUCAGCAGUUUGCCGAUGUCAUGACGAAGGGGUUACCGACGCCUACAUUUGAUGAGUUUCGGUCCAGUCUAUGCGUCACUGGUGACGAAUCGACUGCGGGGGGGUGUUGAACAUAUUUGUGCAUGUAUCUGUUAGGAUAAUCUCCUACCGGCCCCGCCUCUAGUUUCCUUUAUAGAUGAGGCUCAGGGCUGCCUUUGUACCCAUAUAUACGUGCACCGUGCACCCGAUCAAUACAUCGAGAGUUGCAAUUGCCUUCAACACCUUGCACUGAAUUACAGCCAAUAAAGUUACGACUUAGAAUAGUUAACGCAACUAUAAAAACUGUUAUCGAAAUUAAUAAGAGACAAAAGGCAUAUGUGCUUACUGCUUAGUAGUCGUCAUGGCUCCUUUAUGAGCGUGAAACGGGAAUUGCACGACGAUGCUCGUCAUGUCCGCCACUCGUAGGAUGCAUGCUUGAGACGGAUGCAGCUCCUCCGGCAUCCACAGUGAGAACCACCGACCCUCUUGUACCAUUCGAUUGGGCUCACGGUUAAGAUCCAGAAUAUAUUGUUCCUCCAUCAAUGCGUUUUAUUCCUGUAGAUAUGAGAGAGCAUGACAGAAGGAAUCGUACAAAAGGUUUUUGUAUCUCUGAAGCUAUACCUUUGGCAGGCUUUUUUUAAGACUUUAUACGGGUUUUUGUUAGAAAAUUCACGAACUGUCAGAGGAAUAGGUAAGAGAGAGAACUACGCAUGCACAAACGAGCGAGUGUCAUCACUGUACAUCUCUUCUGCGCCAAUUUUCUCCUGUGGAAGGCGCAGGUCAUGUCCGUUUUGUCUGCGAGGAACCCUCGUUGAUGGUCAAGGUGGCACGGCACGGCGGCAGUAGUACCAUCAAGGUCCCCAAGGAGGUUCUAUCGAGACAGAAUAAGCAUAACCUGCACUUCACAAGGAGAGAAUUGGCACAGGUGAGAUGAACAGUGAUGAGCCCGACCAAGGGAUGGCGGCGGCAGGGCCUGAGAUGGAGCACCAGUGGCGUGGGAGGUCAUGCCACUCAUGGAUGGUGGACGAUGUGGCACGGGAGACAUGAGAUGGGGUCGUGGCUCUAAUGUUAAAUUGACAAAGAUGAUUUUGCUUGAGAUGCUCCUUGGGACUUUGCCUCCACUUAUAAUAGUCUCAACUCUAGAAUUAAGAUACGAUCGAAACAAAUAAAUUACUAGGAUAUUGCGAUCCCUACACAAUAAAAAAUUAUCUCUAACUGAUCAUAUGCCGAAUACUACGAGAUACUUACGCUAGCAACAUGAAUAGGUUGCACUAGUCCUGAGUCCAAGGAGAGCCUUUUGCAAGCGAAGUAGAUCAUGGAAGCGUAUGUGUGCCGCAUACAUGUUUAGCAUAUAGCAACGAGUAUAAGGAGUCGGUUGGUUUAGAUUAGUUUUGGGUCUCAUCAUCAACCUACACAAAGAGGAGAACGUACCUUAUCCUAACAAAUCAGAUUACAACAAAUUGAAUGAACGCGUGCUACCCAAAAGCUCUAGAAGGUUUGCUUUAUAAUCUGCCAUUCCUUUGCCGCCUCGGUCCCCUUCCUCUCUCCCUCCAGCGGUUCGUUGCCGGUUAGAGGGGUGGAGACUUGUCCCUUUUGUUCUUCUUUUCCAUAGAUGUUUAUUUCCCUAAUUUCAUCGGAUGAGGUGGUGGCAGCAAUGAUACAUUCCUCUCCUUACCUUAACUCGGCCGGUUUGAUGCCGACGAAGGGCAGGUGUUGUCAUAUUUGUUGGCUUUCUUCGGACCUUGGUAGUUGGUGUGCCAAUUAUGGGAAGCAGUUGGCUGGAUCAUGACGCGGCGACUUCUUGUUGAGUUAUUACGCGGCUUGGCCCGGUUUUCCAACCAUCUAGACUGACGGUGAAGGACUAUAUAACCUGCANNNNNNNNNNNNNNNNNNNNNNNNNNNNNNNNNNNNNNNNNNNNNNNNNNNNNNNNNNNNNNNNNNNNNNNNNNNNNNNNNNNNNNNNNNNNNNNNNNNNNNNNNNNNNNNNNNNNNNNNNNNNNNNNNNNNNNNNNNNNNNNNNNNNNNNNNNNNNNNNNNNNNNNNNNNNNNNNNNNNNNNNNNNNNNNNNNNNNNNNNNNNNNNNNNNNNNNNNNNNNNNNNNNNNNNNNNNNNNNNNNNNNNNNNNNNNNNNNNAUGUCCCAACCAAUAUUACUUCAGCGGUUACUAGAUCUCAUUCUAGUGCCAAGUGGUUAUUUCAGUCUUCAAAGUCUUGUAUGGCUAGGGCACUGGUAGGUGUCCUUUUCCCUUACUGAUUCUUCAUUGCAUUUUUCAAGCUCCGACGGACAAUGUACAAUUGAAGGAAGAUGACAACUAGGAUGGUUUUCAUUGUGAUACUAUUAUUUGUUGGUCAUAUUUCAUCUUGUUGUAUUUCCAUUGUAUUGCAUAUGGUUUUUAUUGAUUAUAUUCAGUUAUAGAUGCCCUAUGGGUGUCUUUUUUGACGAGAAAACGCGUUGUUCCUUGAUACAAUGGUUAAUACGUCCAAUUUAAUAUGCCCACUCACAUAGUUACCAUGUUGAGAUUGGUUUUAAAAUCUUCUAGUUGUUGUCUUGCUAAGGCUUUGGUGAAAUCAUUUGGAAUUUGACCAACUGUGGAAAUAAAAUCACAUUUUGGGUCAAGAUGGCAACGGGGAUGGAACCCGCAGGGUUUUGCUUGCUCAAAUCCUCCAAAACAUGCAGAAAACAACAACUGACACCGGACACUGAGUUAAUAGGUUAGUUCUCAAAAAUGAUAUAAAUAACAUAUAAAGCAUACAAGAUCGAUAAUAUAAUAGCAUGAAACAAUCAAAAAUUAUAGACACGUCGGAGACGUAUCAAUAAACCCUCCUAAAGACUUAGAUUCUAACGUAUAGUAAUGGAUCUAUUAAAUGAAAAAGAUAAAAAUGUUUUAUAAAGCCUGGCUUGUUACUGAUGGUUUAUGACAAGAUCAAAGGAGUUAGCUAUAAUGAAAUUGUCUCGUCAUGGCAAUACUUAAAGGCAGUUCGGGUUAAACUAGCAAUUACUACCUAUUUCAGUUAUGAGAUAUAAUAGAUGGAUGUCAAAAGGAUUCCCAUGCGAUGGAAAUAGAACCGAUGUAUAUAUGAUAUGGCAUGAGGUAAUUUUCUCAUCUAGAGGAUGCUACACUAGUAGAAAAUAUGGCUUUGGUCCAAGCAGGGAAAGCCCAUUAAUCCCGGUUCACUCACGAACCGGGACCCAUGGGGGCAUAGGUCCCGGUUCGUGAGGCCAGGGGGCGGCUGGGCCUCGUGGGGCAUUGGUCCCGGUUCGCCUGGCCACUUUGGUCCCGGUUCCAGGCAUGAACCGGGACCAAUGGGCCUCGCUCCUGGCCCACCACCAAAGGUUUUCCUUUAGUCCCGGUUUCGGUCAUGAACCGGGAGAUGCCUAUAUAUACCCCUUGCCCGCGAUCAGAGCAAUGCAGUGCUCUGCUUUUUUGGGGAGAGGUGUGUGAGAGGUGUGUUGUGCUCUAGCUCACCUCCUAUGCACAUGAGGUGUUCGAUGAAAUGCCGAGCCACACUUAAGCUUUCUCCUCUCGAAGGUCCUUGUCCAAGCUCCAUUUUCCUCAAAAUUUGUCUAGGUUAGGCUGUCCGUCCUGUCCUGUCCCCGUCCUCACCACCGUCGAUCGCCCGUGCCGAUCUCGUCGCCGGUACCACCGUGAGCCACUUGUUCUUAUCUUCUUUCUAAAAGAAAAAAGUGUUGGGGAUCGUUGCAGAAAAUAAAAAUUUUCCUACGCAUCACCAAGAUCAAUCUAUGGAGUAACUAGCAACGAGAGAGAGAGGAGUGCAUCUUCAUACCCUUGAAGACAACGAGACGGAAGCAUUACAAGAACGCGGAUGAGGGAGUCGUACUCGAAGCGAUUCAGAUCACGGUGGAUUCCGAUCUUAGCGCCGAACAACGGCACCUCCGCGUUCAACACACGUGCAGCCCGAUGACGUCUCCUGUGCCUUGAUCCAGCAAGGAGGAGGGAAAGGUUGAGAAAGAGAGCUCCAACAACAGCACGACGGCGUGGUGGUGAUGGAGAGGCAGUACUCCGGCAGGGCUUCGCCAAGCGCUCGCGGAGGAGGAGAGGUGUUGGGGAGGGGAGGGGCUGCACCUUAGGUGUUGUGUUGCAGCCCUCCCCUCGCCCCUCUGUUUAUAGGAGGAGGGGGAAGGGGGCCGGCCCCCUCUAGAUGAGAUCUAGAGGGGGGGCGGUGGCCAAGGGGAGGGGGCUUGCCCCCCAAGCAAGGGGGGCGCCCCCUCUAGGGUUUCCCCCCAACCCUAGGCGCAUGGGCCCAAGGGGGGGAUGCGCCCAGCCCUCCAAGGGCUGGUUCCCUUCCCACUACGGCCCAUGAGGCUCUCCGAGAGAGGUGGCCCCUCCCGAUGGACCCCCGGAACCCUCCGGUGGCCCCGAUACAAUACCGGUAUGCCCCCGAACUUUUCUGGUGACCGUAUGACAACUUCCCAUAUAUAAAUCUUCACCUCCGGACCAUUCCGGAACUCCUCGUGACGUCCGAGAUCUCAUCUGGGACUCUGAACAACAUUCAGUAAUCACUUACAAGUCUUUCUAAUAACCCUAGCGUCAUCGAACCUUAAGUGUGUAGACCCUACGGGUUCGGGAAUCACGCAGACAUGACCGAGAGAACUCUCCAGCCAAUAACCAACAGCGGGAUCUGGAUACCCAUGUUGGCUCCCACAUGUUCCAUGAUGAUCUCAUCGGAUGAACCAUGAUGUCGAGGAUUCAAGUAAUCCCGUAUACAAUUCCCUUUGUCAAUCGGUACGUUACUUGCCCGAGAUCCGAUUGUCAGUAUCCCAAUACCUCGUUCAAUCUCGUUACCGGCAAGUCACUUUACUCGUUACAUAAUGCAUGAUCUCGUGACUAACCACUUAGUCACAUUGAGCUCAUUAUGAUGAUGCAUUACCGAGUGGGCCCAAAGAUACCUCUCCGUCAUACGGAGUGACAAAUCCCAGUCUCGAUUCGUGCCAACCCAACAGACACUUUUGGAGAUACCUGUAGUGCACCUUUAUAGUUACCCAGUUACGUUGUGACGUUUGGUACACCCAAAGCACUCCUACCGUAUCCGGGAGUUACACAAUCUCUUGGUCUAAGGAAAUGAUACUUGACAUUUAGAAAAGCUUAAGCAAACGAACUACACGAUCUUGUGCUAUGCUUAGGAUUGGGUCUUGUCCAUCACAACAUUCUCCUAAUGAUGUGGUCUCGUUAUCAGUGACAUCCAAUGUCCAUAGUCAGGAAACCAUGACCAUCUAUUGAUCAACGAGCUAGUCAACUAGAGGCUCACUAGGGACAUGUUGUGGUCUAUGUAUUCACACAUGUAUCACUGUUUCCGGUUAAUACAAUUAUAGCAUGAAUAAUAGACAAUUAUCAUGAACAAGGAAAUAUAAUAAUAAUCAUUUUAUUAUUGCCUCUAGGGCAUAUUUCCAACAGUCUCCCACUUGCACUAGAGUCAAUAAUCUAGUUACACUGUGAUGAAUCGAACACCCAUAGAGUUUUGGUGUUGAUCAUGUUUUGCUUGCGGAAGAGGUUUAGUCAACGGAUCUGCGAUAUUCAGAUCCGUAUGCACUUUGCAAAUGUCUAUGUCUCCAUCUUGAACAUUUUCACGAAUGGAGUUGAAGCGACGCUUGAUGUGCCUGGUCUUCUUGUGAAACCUGGGCUCCUUGGCAAGGGCAAUAGCUCCAGUGUUGUCACAGAAGAGAGUGACCGGCCCCGACACAUUGGGAAUAACUCCUAGGUCGGUGAUGAACUCCUUCAUAUAGAUUGCUUCAUGAGCUGCCUCCGAGGCUGCCAUGUAUUCCGCUUCACAUGUAUAUCCCGCCACGACGCUCUACUUGCUACUGCACCAGCUUACUGCCCCACAAUUCAAAAUAUACACGUAUCUAGUUUGUGACUUGGAGUCAUCCAGAUCCGUGUCGAAGCUAGCAUUGACGUAACCCUUUACGACGAGCUCUUUGUAACCUCCAUAAACAAGAAACAUAUCCUUAGUCCUUUUCAGGUACUUCAGGAUAUUCUUGACCGCUGUCCAGUGUUCCAUGCCGGGAUUACUUUGGUAUCUUGCUACCAAACUUACGGCAAGGUUUACAUCAGGUCUGGUACACAGCAUGGCAUACAUAAUAGACCCUAUAGCCGAGGCAUAGGGGAUGACACUCAUCUUUUCUUUAUCUUCUGCCGUGGUCGGGGAUUGAGCCGAGCUCAAUUUCACACCUUGCAACACAGGCAAGAACCCCUUCUUGGAUUGAUCCAUAUUGAACUUCUUCAAUAUCUUGUCAAGGUAUGUGCUUUGUGAAAGACCUAUGAGGCGUCUCGAUCUAUCUCUAUAGAUCUUGAUGCCUAAUAUAUAAGCAGCUUCUCCAAGGUCCUUCAUUGAAAAACACUUGUUCAAGUAGGCCUUUAUGCUGUCCAAAAGUUCUAUAUCAUUUCUCAUCAAAAGUAUGUCAUCCACAUAUAAUAUGAGAAAUGCUACAAAGCUCCCACUCACUUUCUUGUAAACACAGGCUUCUCCAUAAGUCUGCAUAAACCCAAACACUUUGAUCAUUUCAUCAAAACGAAUGUUCCAACUCCGAGAUGCUUGCACCAGCCCAUAAAUGGAUCGCUGGAGCUUGCAUACCUUGUUAGUAUUCUUAGGAUCGACAAAACCUUCUGGCUGCAUCAUAUACAACUCUUCCUUAAGAUAGCCGUUAAGGAAUGCCGUUUUGACGUCCAUUUUCCAUAUCUCAUAAUCAUAGUAUGUGGCAAUUGCUAACAUGAUUCAGACGGACUUCAGCUUCGCUACAGGUGAGAAGGUCUCAUCGUAGUCAACCCCUUGAACUUGUCGAUAACCCUUAGCGACAAGUCAAGCCUUAUAGAUGGUAAUAUUACCAUCCGCGUCUGUCUUCUUCUUAAAGAUCCAUUUGUUUUCUAUCGCUCACCGAUCAUCUGGCAAGUUUGUCAAAGUCCAUACUUUGUUUUCAUACAUGGAUCCUAUCUCAGACUGCAUGGCUUCAAGCCAUUUGUUGGAAUCUGGGCCCGCCAUCGCUUCUUCAUAGUUCGAAGGUUCACCGUUGUGUAACAACAUGAUUUCUAGGACAGGGUUUCCAUACCAUUCUGGUGUGGAACGUGUCCUUGUGGACCUACGAAGUUCAGUAGUAACUUGAUCCGAAGUACCUUGAUCAUCAUCAUUAACUUCCUCUCCAGUCGGUGUAGGCACCACAAGAACAUCUUCCUGAGCUGCUCUACUUACCGGUUCAAGAGGUAGUACUUCAUCAAGUUCCACCUUCCUCCCACUUACUUCUUUCGAGAGAAACUCUUUCUCUAGAAAGGACCCAUUCUUGGCAACAAAGAACUUGCCUUCGGAUCUGAGGUAGAAGGUAUACCCAAUUGUUUCCUUAGGGUAUCCUAUGAAGACACAUUUUUCCGACUUGGGUUCGAGCUUUUCAGGUUGAAGUUUCUUGACAUAAGCAUCGCAUCCCCAAACUUUUAGAAACGUCAGCUUAGGUUUCUUUCCAAACCAUAAUUCAUACGGUGUCGUCUCAACGGAUUUAGACGGUACCCUAUUUAAAGUGAAUGUAGCUGUCUCUAAAGCGUAUCCCCAAAAUGGUAGCGGUAAAUCGGUAAGAGACAUCAUAGACCGCACCAUAUCCAAUAGAGUGCGAUUACGCUGUUCGGACACACCGUUACGCUGAGGUGUUCCAGGUGGCAUGAGUUGUGAAACGAUUCCACAUUUCCUUAAGUGCGUACCAAACUCAUGACUUAAAUAUUCUCCCCCACGAUCUGAUCAUAAGAACUUUAUUUUUCUAUCAUGUUGAUUCUCUACCUCAUUCUGAAAUUCCUUGAACUUUUCAAAGGUCUUAGACUUAUGUUUCAUCAAGUAGACAUACCCAUAUCUACUUAAGUCAUCAGUGAGGGUGAGAACAUAACGAUAGCCACCGCGAGCCUCAACACUCAUUGGACCACACACAUCAGUAUGUAUAAUCUCCAAUAAGUUGGUUGCUCGCUCCAUUGUUCCGAAGAACGGAGUCUUGGUCAUUUUGCCCAUGAGGCAUGGUUCGCACGUGUCAAAUGAUUCGAAAUCAAGAGACUCCAAAAGCCCAUCUGUAUGGAGCUUCUUCAUGCGUUUGACACCAAUGUGACCAAGGCGGCAGUGCCACAGAUAUGUGGGACUAUCAUUAUUAAUCUUACAUCUUUUGGUAUUCACACUAUGAAUAUGUGUAACAUCACAUUCGAGAUUCAUUAAGAAUAAACCAUUGACCAGCGGGGCAUGACCAUAAAACAUAUCUCUCAUAUAAAUAGAACAACCAUUAUUCUCAGAUUUAAAUGAGUAGCCAUCUCGUAUUAAACGAGAUCCAGAUACAAUGUUCAUGCUCAAAGCUGGCACUAAAUAACAAUUAUUGAGGUUUAAAACUAAUCCCGUAGGUAAAUGCAGAGGUAGCGUGCCGACGGUGAUCGCAUCGAGCUUGGAACCAUUCCCGACGCGCAUCGUCACCUCGUCCUUCGCCAGUCUCCGCUUAUUCCGCAGCUCUAGUUUUGAGUUACAAAUAUGAGCAACCGCACCGGUAUCAAAUACCCAGGAGCUACUACGAGUACUGGUAAGGUACACAUCAAUAACAUGUAUAUCACAUAUACCUUUGGUGUUGCCAGCCUUCUUAUCCGCUAAGUACUUGGGGCAGUUCCGCUUCCAGUGACCGUUUCCCUUGCAAUAGAAGCACUCAGUCUCAGGUUUGGGUCCAUGCUUUGGCUUCUUCCCAGCAACUGGCUUACCGGGCGUGGCAACUCCCUUGCCGUCCUUCUUGAAGUUCUUCUUACCCUUGCUUUUCUUGAAACUAGUGGUUUUAUUGACCAUCAACACUUGAUGCUCCUUUUUGAUCUCCACCUCCGCUGAUUUCAGCAUUGAAAAUACCUCAGGAAUGGUUUUCACCAUCCCCUGGAUAUUGUAGUUCAUCACAAAGCUCUUGUAGCUAGGUGGGAGCGAUUGGAGGAUUCUGUCAAUGACCGCGUCAUCCGGGAGAUUAACUCCCAACUGAGAUAAGCGGUUGUGCAACCCAGACAUUUUGAGUAUGUGCUCACUGAUAGAACCAUUCUACUCCAUCUUACAACUAUAGAACUUGUCGGAGACUUCAUAUCUCUCGACCCGGGCAUGAUCUUGGAAAACCAUUUUCAGCUCUUGGAACAUCUCAUAUGCUCUAUGCUGCUCAAAACGCUUUUGGAGCCCCGGUUCUAAGCUGUAAAGCAUGCCGCACUGAACCAGGGAGUAAUCAUCACUAGGCGACUGCCAGACGUUCAUAACAUCUUGAGUUGCUGGGAAAACGGGUGCUUCACCUAGCGGUGCAUCUAGGACAUAUGCUCUUUUGGCGGCUAUGAGGAUGAUUCUCAAGUUCCGGACCCAGUCCGCAUAGUUGCUGCCAUCGUCUUUCAUCUUGGUUUUCUCUAGGAACGCGUUGAAGUUGAGGGCAACAUUAGCGUGGGCCAUUUGAUCUACAAGACAUAUUGCAAAUGUUUUAGACUAAGUUCAUGAUAAUUAAGUUCAUCUAAUCAAAUUAUUUAAUGAACUCCCACUCAGAUAGACAUCCCUCUAGUCAUCUAAGUGAUCCAUGAUCCGAGUCAACUAGGCCGUGUCCGAUCAUCACGUGAGACGGACUAGUCAUCAUCGGUGAACAUCAUCAUGUUGAUCGUAUCUUCUAUAUGACUCAUGUUCGACCUUUCGGUCUCUUGUGUUCCGAGGCCAUGUCUGUAUAUGCUAGGCUUGUCAAGUCAACCUAAGUGUUUUUGCAUGUGUAAAUCUGUCUUACACCCGUUGUAUGUGAACGUUAGAAUCUAUCACACCCGAUCAUCACGUGUUGCUUCGAAACAACGAACUUUCGCAACGGCGCACAGUUAGGGGGAACACUUUCUUGAAAUUAUUAUGAGGGAUCAUCUUAUUUACUACCGUCGUUCUAAGAAAAUAAGAUGCAAAAACAUGAUAAACAUCACAUGCAAUCAAAUAGUGACAUGAUAUGGCCAAUAUCAUUUUGCUCCUUUUGAUCUCCAUUUUCGGGGCACCAUGAUCAUCAUCGUCACCGGCGUGACACCAUGAUCUCCAUCAUCAUGAUCUCCAUCAUCGUGUCUCCAUGAAAUUGUCUCGCCAACUAUUACUUCUACUACUAUCGCUAACGGUUUAGCAAUGAAGUAAAGUAAUUACAUGGCGUUAUUCAGUGACACGCAGGUCAUACAAUAAAUAAAGACAACUCCUAUGGCUCCUGGCGGUUGCCAUACUCAUCGACAUGCAAGUCAUGAUUCCUAUUACAAGAACAUGAUCAAUCUCAUACAUCACAUAUAUUUCAUUCAUCACAUCCUUUUUGGCCAUAUCACAUCACAAGGCAUAUGCUGCAAAAACAAAUUAGACGUCCUCUAAUUGUUGUUGCAUGUUUUUACGUGGCUGCAAUAGGGUUCUAGCAAGAACGUUUCUUACCUACGUUAAAACCGCAACGUGAUGUGCCAAUUUCAAUUUACCCUACAUAAGGAACCUUUUCAUCGAAUCCGAUCCGACUAAGGUGGGAUAGACAGACACCCGCUAGCCACCUUAUGCAACUAGUGCAUGUCAGUCGGUGGAACCUGUCUCACGUAAGCGUAUGUGUAAGGUCGGUCCGGGCGGCUUCAUCCCACGAUACCGCUGAAACAAGAUAAGACUAAUAGUGGCAAGUAAAUUGACAAAAUCUACGCCCACAACAAAAUUGUGUUCUACUCGUGCAUAGAAACUACGCAUAGACCUCUCUGAUACCACUGUUGGGGAUCGUUGCAGAAAAUAAUUUUUUUCCUACACAUCACCAAGAUCAAUCUACGGAGUAACUAGCAACGAGAGAGAGAGAGAGAGGAGUGCAUCUUCAUACCCUUGAAGACAGCGAGACAGAAGCGUUACAAGAACGCGGAUGAGGGAGUCGUACUUGAAGCGAUUCAGAUCGUGGUGGAUUCCGAUCUUAGCGCCGAACAACGGCACCUCCGUGUUCAACACACGUGCAGCCCGGUGACGUCUCCCGCGCCUUGAUCUAGCAAGGAGGGAGAGGUUGAGGAAGAGAGCUCCAACAGCAGCACGACGGCGUGGUGGUGAUGGAGAGGCAGUACUCCGGCAGGGCUUCGCCAAGCGCUCGCGGAGGAGGAGAGGUGUUGGGGAGGGGAGGGGCUGCGCCUUAGCUGUUGUGUUGCAGCCCUCCCCUCGCCCCUCUAUUUAUAGGAGGAGGGGGAAGGGGGCCGGCCCCCUCUAGAUGAGAUCUAGAGGGGGGGCGGCGGCCAAUGGGAGGGGGCUUGCCCCCCAAGCAAGGGGGGCGCCCCCUCUAGGGUUUCCCCCAACCCUAGGCACAUGGGCCCAAGGGGGGGGGAUGCGCCCAGCCCUCCAAGGGCUGGUUCCCUUCCCACUACGGCCCAUGAGGCCCUCCGAGAGAGGUGGCCCCUCCCGGUGGACCCCCGGAACCCUCCGGUGGCCCCGAUACAAUACCGGUAUGCCCCCGAACUUUUUUGGUGACCGUAUGGCAACUUCCCAUAUAUAAAUCUUCACAUCCAGACCAUUCCGAAACUCCUCAUGAUGUCCGGAAUCUCAUCCGGGACUCCGAACAACAUUCAGUAAUCACUUACAAGUCUUCCUAAUAACCCUAGCAUCUCGAACCUUAAGUGUGUAGACCCUACGGGUUCGGGAAUCACGCAGACAUGACCGAGACAGCUCUCCAGCCAAUAACCAACAGUGGGAUCUGUAUACCCAUGUUGGCUCCCACAUGUUCCACGAUGAUCUCAUCGGAUGAACCAUGAUGUCGAGGAUUCAAGUAAUCCCGUAUACAAUUCCCUUUGUCAAUCGGUACGUUACUUGCCCGAGAUCCGAUCGUCGGUAUCCCAAUACCUCAUUUUUUUCGUUACCGGCAAGUCACUUUACUCGUUACAUAAUGCAUGAUCCCAUGACUAACCACUUAGUCACAUUGAGCUCAUUAUGAUGAUGCAUUACCGAGUGGGCCCAGAGAUACCUCUCCGUCAUACGGAGUGACAAAUCCUAGUCUCGAUUCGUGCCAACCCAACGGACACUUUCGGAGAUACCUGUAGUGCACCUUUAUAGUCACCCAGUCAUGUUGUGACGUUUGGUACACCCAAAGCACUCCUACCAUAUCCGGGAGUUACACAAUCUCAUGGUCUAAGGAACUGAUACUUGACAUUUAGAAAAGCUUUAACAAACAAACUACACGAUCUUGUGCUAUGCUUAGGAUUGGGUCUUGUCCAUCACAUCAUUCUCCUAAUGAUGUGGUCUCCUUAUCAAUGACAUCCAAUGUCCAUAGUCAGGAAACCAUGACCAUCUGUUGAUCAACGAGCUAGUCAACUAGAGGCUCACUAGGGACAUGUUGUGGUCUAUGUAUUCACACAUGUAUCACUGUUUCCGGUUAAUACAAUUAUAGCAUGAAUAAUAGUCAAUUAUCAUGAACAAGGAAAUAUAAUAAUAAUCAUCUUAUUAUUGCCUCUAGGGCAUAUUUCCAACAAAAAGUUCUUACUUGUAUGAUUUAGAUAGAUACUUGUUUAGUUUUCUUACUUAUUAUUGUUUGAUAUUAUAUAGUGUGAUGGUUUUGGUAUCCGCCUCCGUGGGCCCUCGACCUGUCUAUGCUUUGGAUGUUGUAUAUAUAUUAUCUUCUUAACUAUUUGUUUCAUUUAGUGUUUAUUACAAUUAUGCCGAGCAACGUGACAUAGAUUUUUUAUCUAGGAGGUAUGCGAACCGGAAAUUCCAACCGACCCUAUUGUUGAGAGGUUAAAUUUAGUUGAAAAAGAAAACAACUACUUGAAGGAAAAAUUGAAAAAUUGAGGAGGAGAAGAUGAUAUUGGAGUUGCAUGUUGCGGAUGUCGUCAAUGAUCACAAGAUCAAGAUGGAUGCAAUGCGCUUGAAGAUUAGAAAGAUUAGAAAAUAUGCCAUUCAUACUGAGGCUUGGUAUCAUUAUGACGUUGGAUCAAUUGUUACCUUAGUUGCGAUUAUGAUCGCAUUUGUUGUUGCAUUGAUAUGUUUUAGAUAGUUUUAAUGUAUGGUUUAAUUAGAUGCUCUGGAGAGCUAUAUGUUGUUCAAUGAGAACUAUGUAUGUACUUUGGUUUUAAUGUGAUGAUGAACUUCUAUUAAUUUGGUCACUUAUGUAUUCAUGAUGUUUUGUAAUGGUGUUUGACACACUUAAUUAUAUAUAAUGCACGCAGAUGAACCGACAAUGGAUGUACAAUGGCAGACGCACCUCUGAGUACAUUAAGAGCGUGCAUAAUUUUCUCGAAGUGGCCGAGGCAAACAAGCAGAAUGGUUUUAUGUGUUGUCCAUGCCCUAUAUGUGGGAAUACGAAGUCUUACUCUGACCGCAAAAUCCUUCACAGCCACGUGCUUUACAAGGGUUUCAUGCCACAUUAUAAUGUUUGGACCAAGCACGGAGAAACAAGGGUUAUGAUGGAAGACAACAAAGAAGAAGAGGAUGAUGACAACUAUAAGCCCCCUGAAUACGGUGAUGCUGCAACGAGAGAAGCUGAAGAUCAAGAGGAACCAAACGAUGUGCACCAUGAUGAUCUUCCCCGGGUCAUUGUUGAUGCAAAGAGACAGUGCGAAAGUGUAAAGGAGAAGUUGAAGUCGAUCGCAUGUUAGAGGAUCACAAAAAAGGGUUGUACCCCAAUUGCAAAGAUGGCAACACAAAGCUCGGUACCACACUGGAAUUGCUGCAGUGGAAGGCAGAGAAUGGUGUACCUAACAAAGAAUUUGAGAAGCUACUGAAAAUAUUGAAGAACAAGCUUCCAAAGGAUAAGGAAUUUCCCGACAGUACAUACGGAGCAAAGAAGGUUGUAUGCCCUUUAGGAUUGGAGGUGCAAAAGAUACAUGCAUGCCCUAAUGACUGCAUCCUCCACCGCGGUGCAUACGAGGAUUUGAACGCAUGCCCGGUAUGUGGUGCAUUGCGGUAUAAGAUCAGACGAGAUGACCCUAGUGAUGUCGACGGCGAGAGCCCCAGGAAGAGGGUUCUUACCAAGGUGAUGUGGUAUGCUCCUAUAAUACCACGGUUGAAACGUCUGUUCAGAAACAAAGAGCAUGCCAAGUUGAUGCGAUGGCACAGAGAGGACAGUAUGAAAGACGGGAAGUUGAGAGCACCCGCUAACGUAUGGUUUGGUUUAAGCGCGUAUGUCAUUAAUCCUUUUGGGAAGCAGAGCAGCAAUCACAACACCUGGCCUGUGACUCUAUGCAUCUAUAACCUUCCUCCUUGGCUGUGCAUGAAGCGGAAGUUCAUUAUGAUGCCAGUUCUCAUCCAAGGCCCUAAGCAACUCGGUAACAACAUUGAUGUGUACCUAAGGCCAUUAGUUGAAGAACUUUUACAACUGUGGAAUGGAAACGGUGUACAUGUGUGGGAUGAGCACAAACAACAGGAAAUUGACCUACAUGCGUUGCUGUUUGUAACCAUCAAUGAUUGGUCUGCUCUCAGUAACCUUUUAGGAUAGACAAACAAGGGAUACCAUGCAUGCACGCACUGUCUAGAUGACACCGAAAGUAUAUACCUGGAAAAAUGCAGGAAGAAUGUACCUGGGGCAUCAUUGAUUUCUUCCGACCAACCAUCAAUGUCGAAAGAAAGGCAAACAUUUCAAAGGCGAGGCAUAUCAUCGAAAGAAGCCCGCCGUCCAUACCGGUGAUCACAUACUUGCUAUGGUCAAUGAUUUAUAAGUAAUCUUUGGAAAGGGUCCCGGCGAACUAUCUGUUCCGAAUGACACUGACGGAUGCACACCCAUGUGGAAGAAGAAAUCUAUAUUUUGGGACCUACCCUACUGGAAAGACUUAGAGGUCCACUCUUAAAUCGACGUGAUGCACGUGAUGAAGAAUCUUUGCGUGAACCUGCUAGGCUUCUUGGGCAUGUAGGGGAAGUCAAAAGAUAUACCGGAGGGACAGGAGGACCAGCAACGUGUGCACGAAAAAGAUGGCAUGCCUCCAGAGUAGUAUGAAGGUCCUGCCAGCUAUGCUCUUACCAAAGAAGAGAAGGAAAUCUUGUUUGAAUGCAUGCUUAGUAUGAAGGUCCCGUCUAGCUUCUCGUCGAAUAUAAAUGGAAUAAUAAAUAUGCCAGAGAAAAAGUUCCAGAACCUAAAGUCUCAUGACUGCCACGUGAUUAUGACGCAACUGCUUCUGGUUGCAUUGAGGGGGCUUCUACCGGAAAACGUUCGAUUAGCCAUUAUGAAGUUAUGUUCAUUCCUAAAUGCAAUCUCUGAGAAGGUGAUCGAUCCAGAAAUCCUACCACGGUUAAGGAGUGAUGUGGCGCAAUGUCUUGUUAGUUUCGAGCUGGUGUUCCCACCAUCCUUCUUCAAUAUCAUGACACACGUCCUAGUUCAUCUAGUCGGCGAGAUUGUCAUUCUGGGCCCUGUAUUUCUACACAAUAUGUUCCACUUUGAGAGGUUCAUGGGAGUCCUGAAGAAUUAUGUCUGUAACCGCGCUAGGCCAGAAGGAAGCAUCUCCAUGGGCCAUCAAACAGAGGAUGUCAUUUGGUUUUGUGUUGACUUCAUUCCUGGCCUUAAGAAGAUAGGUAUCCCUCAAUCACAGUAUGAGGGGAGACUGAGUGGAAAAGGAACGCUAGGAGAGGACUCAAUAAUAUGUAGGGACGGGCAUUCUUGGUCUCAAGCACACUACACAGUUCUACAGAAUUCUACCUUGGUGACCCUGUAUGUCGAUGAACACAAGAACAUUCUGCGCUCCAAACACCCGGACCAGUGUGACGACUGGAUUACAUGUGAACACAUCAGGACUUUUGGCAGUUGGUUGCAAACACGUCUCAGGGGUGACAACACUGUUUCUGAUGAGUUGUACUCGUUGGCCAGGGAACCAUCUUCGACUGUAAUGACUUACAAAGGGUACGAGAUAAAUGGGAAUACAUUUUACAUGAUCACCCAAGAUCAAAAGGGCACCAACCAAAAUUGUGGUGUCCGCUUUGAUGCAGCAACCAAGAGGGGAAAGGACACAUAUUAUGGUUACAUAGUGGACAUAUGGGAACUUGACUAUGGACAUGAUUUUAAGGUCCCUUUGUUUAAGUGCAAUUGGGUCAAUCUGUCAGGAGGCGGGGUUCAGGUAGACCCACAGUACGGAAUGACAAUAGUGGAUCUGAACAAUUUUGGGUACACAGACGAACCAUUCAUCCUAGCCAAUGAUGUGGCGCAGGUUUUCUAUGUGAAUGACAUGUCUACCAAACCGAGAAAAAGAAAAAGAUAAGGAAGCAAAUACAUCAUACGAUGAGCCAAAGCGCCACAUAAUUCUUUCACGAAAAAGAGACAUCAUGGGAUUGGAGGGCAAGACAGACAUGUCUGAAGAUUAUGAAAAGUUUCAUGAAAUUCCUCCCUUUAAAGUCAAGUCUGACCCAAGCACCCUGUUAAAUGAUGAAGAUUAUCCAUGGUUACGGUGCAAUAAGCAAAGGACACAAGCGAAGAUAAAGUGAAGACUUUCUCUCCACAACUAUUAUGAUGAUGCCUUUGAUCUAGAAUAUCACUGCAGUUACAUGUGAAGAAAUUAAAUGCCAUUUGUAACAGACGAGUUUCCGUGUGAAACCCUGAUACUUCGAAAGAGAUUGUCUGUUUUGUACGUGAAGUGCAUCCAGUUUUUGCCGUAACCCUCUCAACUUUUUAGCACGUGCUAUGUGGGUGAAAUGAUGAUACCAUGCCAACUUUCAACCUUUUCAGAGUUCAUUUGUAGUGCUUUUCAAUUUAAGGGUCGUUUAGCUCAAAAAGGUCAGUAAAUGCAUGAAAAAUACCAAAUGAAGUGAGAAAGGGUUGAAAAUUGAUGAUGUGGCUUUGAAUGGUGCAUUUUGAACACAAAAAAGUCUGGAGUUCAAAUAAGUUCAAAAAACUUGAACUCUUUGUAACAGAUGAGUUGUCGUCCGAAACCCUGAUACUUUGAAAGAGAUUGUCCAUUUUGUACAUGAAGUGCAUCCAGUUUUUGCCGUAACCCUCUCAACUUUUUAGCACAUGCUAUGUGGGCGAAAUGAGGAUACCAUGCCAACUUUCAACCUUUUCAGAGUUCAUUUGUAGUGCUUUUCAAUUGAAGGGUCAUUUAGCUCAAAGAAUGAACUAAUAGCAAAAAGAAUGAACUAAAAAUAAUCAAUUAAAAUAUUCUGUUAUGAGCAACUAAAACAAAAUUAUAUUAUUCUUCAAUACCAAAAAGAAUCAACUAUAAAGCUUUUAUAAAACUCCAAUAGCAAAAUGAAUCAACUAAAAAGCUUUUAUAAACCUCUAGUAUUAUUGAAACUAAAAUUAUAUAAAAUUUAUGCAACAAAAAUUAUCAAAGUAUUUUCUGUUCAAAACAUUAAAAGCAAAAAUAAUUUUCAUAAAGAAUUUUUUGUUAGAAAUUUUAAUAGAAAAAGAAUUAUCAUAAAGACUUUUUUGUUAGAAACUAAAAUAACAAAAUAUGUUUUUGAAUAUAAUGAUAAAACACGGUAAUAUUAAAUAUCAGGAAAAAGAAUCACUCCAAAAUCUAUUUUUAUAGUAAAGUUAAUCACAAACUAGUGAUUCAUGCAAAUUUCAAAGAAUUCAAAUUUAAACUAUUCAAAUUUAAAAAGUAAUGGCACUAACAGAAAGUUUAUAAUUUUUGUGACCUAAAAGCAAAAAAGAAUUAAAAAAUAAAGCAAAAAACAAAAGAAAAUAAAUAAUGCAAAAGACAAAACAGAAAAUUGGAAAAAAAUUAAAAAAACGCCACCUACUAGGCAACCACGACCUGAAUACAUCUAGAAACCCAACCAUGGGACAGGAUUCAGGCCCGCAGAAGGCCCAGUAGGCCCACAAGCAUAGCAGUGUCAGAUUAGGCCCGUAAGCCUGCAUUGGAGAGGAGCUCGAGAGGGCACCGGCAGUGGGGCUUAUAAACCACUCUGAGACCCUCUCGACUAGUGAGGUGGGACUAAACUUUUUGGCCGCGGGCAGCACAAGGCCUUUGGUCCCGGUUGGUAGCACCAACCGGGACAAAAGGUGUGCAUUGGUACCGGUUCGUGGCACCAACCGGGACCAAUGCCACCUUUAGUCCCGGUUGGUGCCACCAACCAGGACCAAAGGUCCCUAUGAAAAUAGACCCCAGGUUGGUGGCACCAACCGGGACUAAAAGGUGGCAUUGAUCCCGGUUGGUGCCACGAACCAGGACCAAUGCUUCGUCAAUAUAAGCAACACUUGUGAAAAUUUUCAUUCAGUUCGUCUUCGAUCCCUCUGAUGACUCCGGCAGGCUGCCCCUCUACCCCACCGUCGCCGUCGUCGCCCUACCUCCGACGCCGUCGCCGCGCCCCUGCCCCGAGCCCUCGUUGCCGUGCGCACCCCUGCCCCCGACGCCGUCACUGCGCCACCCCUGCCCCGAGCCCUCGUCAUCGCGCCACCCCUGCCCCGCGUCGUCACCGCCCUGGUCCGUGCCGCCCCGCACUACAGUCCGGCCGGCCCCCUCCAUCCUUGUCCGAUCCUCCUCCCCUAGCUAGCUUAGUUUGUUCAUAUACAUUUUUUUCAUAUGAUUUUGUUAGAUGAUGUUGAUGAUAGAUAUGAUGAUGUUGAGGAUAGAUGAUGUAUACUUUUUUUGUUCAUGUAAUUUUUUUGUUCAUAAUGUAUGCUUUUUUGUUCAUAUGAUGAUUUUUUUCAUAUAUGUAUUAAUUUUUUAAUUUAGGUUGUUAGUAGAUAUCGAUUUUAGGUUAGUAUAUUUUAGGUUUGUUGUACUGCUAGUGCAUUUUUGGUUAGUAGAUAGAAAAAAGGAAAAUAAGGAAAAAGAAGAAAAGAGGGAAAGGAGGAAGGAAGAAGAAAAAGAAGGAGAGGAAAAAGGAAAAUAAGAAGAAGAAGAAGGAGAAGAAGAAGGAGAAGAAGAGGAGAGGGAAGAAGAGGAGAAAAAAUAAGAAGAGGAAAAAAAGAGGAGUCCUCCUUUUCUUCUUCUUCUUCCUCUUCUUAUUUUUAUCGGGAACGAGGGUGUCGAGGAUCGCUGAGUGGUGGNNNNNNNNNNNNNNNNNNNNNNNNNNNNNNNNNNNNNNNNNNNNNNNNNNNNNNNNNNNNNNNNNNNNNNNNNNNNNNNNNNNNNNNNNNNNNNNNNNNNNNNNNNNNNNNNNNNNNNNNNNNNNNNNNNNNNNNNNNNNNNNNNNNNNNNNNNNNNNNNNNNNNNNNNNNNNNNNNNNNNNNNNNNNNNNNNNNNNNNNNNNNNNNNNNNNNNNNNNNNNNNNNNNNNNNNNNNNNNNNNNNAGGGUCGCCAAGGGGUCGAGGUUUGAGGAUCGCCGAGGGGUCGAGGGUUGUCGAGGGGUCGAGGUUCGAGGAUCGCCGAGGGGUCGAGGGUCGUCGAGGGGUCGAAGGUCUCCUUUUAACAAGAAUGCCCCAUUAUGUAUGUGCACAAGUUGAUCCAUUUUUUUUUCUGAUCUCAUCUACGUAACGUCCUAUAUGUCACGUUGUCUUGUGUCAAAGUAUUAAAGAAAUCCAUGCUUCAUCAUUAACCGGAAGUAACAAGGGCAUGAUGGUACAAAGCUCUCCAAAGUUAUUUUGGAACGGAGUCCCGGAUAGGAUAAUUCGCUUUUUGCUACGAAGUUCAGCAAAGGCCUUCCAAAUAGCGAUAUUCGGAAUACUCUUGCUGAACUUCGUAACAAAAAGUGAAUUAUCCUAUCUGGGACUCCGUUCCAAAAUAACUUUGGAGAGCUUCGUACCGUCAUGCCCCGGCUACUUCCGACUAAUGAUGAAGCCAUGCUUUUCUUGAAUCCUUUGACACUAGACAACAUGACAUAUAGAAGGGUAGAUGAGAUCAGGAAAAAUAUGGACCAUUUUCUGCACAUCCCGAAUGGUGCCGUUUUGUUAAAUCCCUUGUUUGAAAUUCAUGAGAGAGGCAGUCUGGACGUCGGACAUUCAUGAGAGAACUCUGGUAACUCUUCAACAUGAGGGGGGACGUCGAUCAACCCCCUCUCGCCCAACCAAACCCUAGAAGCGUCAAGGCCACCCCAAACCCUAGAAGCAUUUUUGAGGGGUCAUGGUUCGAGGAUCGUCGAGGGGUCGAGGGGUCGAGGUUCGAGGAUCGCCGAGGGGUCGAGGGUCGAGAUUUAUCAAGAAUGCCCCCAUUAUGGAUGUGCACAAGUUGAUCCAUUUUUUUCUGAUCUCAUCUACGUAAUGUUCUAUAUGUCACGUUGUCUUGUAUCAAAGUAUUGAAGAAAUCCAUGGCUUCAUCAUUAGCCAGAAGUAACUGGGGCAUGAAGGUACAAAGCUCUUGGAGUCCCGGAUAGGAUAAUCCAAUUUUUUCUACGAAGUUCAGAAAAGGCCUUCCAAAUAGCGAUAUUCGGAAGGCUCUUGUUGAACUUCGUAACAAAAAGCGAAUUGUCCUAUCCGGGACUCCGUUCUAAAAUAACUUUGUAGAGUUCCGUACCAUCAUGCCCCGGUUACUUCCGGCUAAUGAUGAAGCCAUGGUUUUCUUGAAUCCUUUGACACUAGACAAUGUGACAUAUAGAAAUGUAGAUGAGAUCAGGAAAAAUAUGGACCAUUUUUUGCACAUCCAGAAUGGCGCCAUUUUGUUAAAUCCCUUGUUUGCCAUUCAUGGGAGAGGCGGUCCGGACGUCGGACAUUCAUGAGAGAACUAUGGUAACUCUUCAACAUGAGGGGGGACGUCGAUCAACCCCCUCUUGCCCGACCAAACCCUAGAAGCGUUGAGGCCACCCCAAACCCUAGAAUCAUCGAGGCCACCCAAAUUUACCAAGUUAAAAGAGCAUUGUCAUCGAGGCCACCCCAAACUGUAGAAGCGUCGAGGCCACUAAUUAAUAUUCCUUGUUGUGAUUAGCUAGCUAGGUCUAUGUUUGCCACUAAUAUGUCCAUCUCUCAUGUUUGUAUAUUAAUUGCCAUGUUGUAAUAUUUGCAGAAACUGUGGAUCAACAAAGAGACUUGGAAAAAGAACAGUUGUUGGGGGAUAUAAUCUUCGCUGGAGAUGAUGUCUAGUAUAGGUCUUUCUUGAGCUAACCUAGGUAACUAAGCAUAUUAGAGCUAAUUUAGCAUUUUAGAGCUAACUUAGGUCAUUUUGGAGCUAACCUAGGUAAAAUGGAUCAUAUUGGAGCUACCUAAGUAAAAUUGUUCAUUUUGGAGCUAACCUAGCUAAUUAUGCCAUUUUUGAGUUAACUAAGCAUAUUACGCCAUUUUUGACAUAAGUAAGCUAAGUAUAGGUAUUUCUUGAGCUAACCCAGGUAACUAAGCAUAUUAGAGCUAAUUUAGCAUUUUAGAGCUAACUUAGGUCAUUUUGGAGCUAACUUAGGUAAAAUUGAUCAUUUUGGAGCUAAUUAGGCUUAUUAUGUCAUUUUCGAGGAAAAUAAGCUAACUAUAUGACAUAUAUGAGGUUACCAAGAUUAUUAUGCCAUUUCAAACCUAAGUAAGCUAAUUAUGCCAUUUUUUUACAUAAGUAAGCUAAGUGUAUGUCAUUAUUGAGAAAACCUAGGUAACUAAGCAUAUUAGAGAUAACUUAGCACAUUAGAGCUAACUUAGGUCAUUUCAGAGGAAACAAAGCUAAGUAUAGAUCAUUUUGGAGAUCUGACGUACCUGACAUACUUCACUCCUCUUUCUUCUCCUCCGCCUUCAUCAUCCUGAUCUACUUAGAGCGGCGAGGCAGUGGGAUGUAGUCUUCUACCACAAUUGGCAUGGUCAUGUCGUCCAACUGUGGGAUCACGAGGUCAUUGUCAGGCACCACCACCAUCGCGAGGCCAUCUUCAGGCAGCACCAUCGCUAGAUCAUCGUCAACCACCACCAUCUCUUGCCCAUCAUCAGCGACCACCAUCGCUUGCCCAUCGCCAGCCACCACCAUCACUUGGCCAUCGUCAGCCACCACCAUCGCGAGGUCAUCGUCAGAUAGAAUAGGCUGCACCUCCUCAUCCCCACUCUGGUCCUCUUCUUCCCCACUCCAUUCCUGAGCAUUCUCGUUGCUGCUUUUGCUAUAGCCAGAGUCGCUGCUGCUUUGGCUGUAGCUAGAGUCACUGCUGCUGCUCCCAUUGCCUCACCAAAUGCAACAGAGUUUUUUAAACAAUCAAUGUGAGACAAAGCCAAAUGUAGAGGAAGAAGAGGCAAAACGUACUGGCAUCAUCGUCGUCCUGGUAGCUCAUGCGGCACACAGUCGUGUUGAAUACCUUUACGGUGAGCAUGGCAACGCAGUCGUACCUGAAGACAAGGAAGUACCCGUGCUGCAGGUCGUAGGCACGAACGAACUUCUCCCAGCCAUGACACAGGUACAUGUGGCCGUACCUGAUCACCACCUCCACGUCCCAAUGCCUGGGAAGCCCGCUGCCGCCCUGUCGCAGCUUCACAUUCUUUGGCCGAUGGCCGUCCAGCAUAUUCAUAAAAGUGUCAGGCAGCCUCUGCAGCAUGGGUCAAGGAGUGAUGUAGCAAACAACAGAGUUAUCAUAAAGAGAUGGUUGAAGGGGAGAUCUCUCCUUUUAUAUACCUACCUCCUGGAGGAAUUCUCAAGUAUGAUCGUGAAGAACUCGAAACCAUCCAACUCGUACUUCAGUGUGGCAGAACGCAACCUGCGGUGGCGGCCUCCCCCCAUCUCUGAUAAGCAACAGAAGAGACCAAUUACUACCCUUACAACAUUAUCAUACAACAUUACAGCAGUAGAAGUUUUGAUCAGAAGAUAAUCAACUACACCAAGUUAUCAUUUCACAUUCAAAAAGAAAUGCACUUGUGGACAUAUGAUGGCAAUAGCUAGAACCCUUCAAAACUAGGGAUUUCUUCAGACAUGAAACAAAACUAAAAAUGUAAACCAAAUUGAUGGUGAUACCAAUAAGAAAACAUUACCACUACCAAGGAUAUUGAAACUACAGAUGAUCCUUUAAUUAAAACUACAAAUGCAAGCAAAACUACUGAAACUACAAAUGAUCCUUUAAUUAACAAGUUGAAGUUACUUGGAGUAACAUUUGGUUUUAGUUUACUUGGAAUAGUGUCUAGAGCAAGAAGAGAUAUGCAUAAUUGAAGUUCUGUGAUAAAGGCAGUCUUAGCAACAUGACGUUGAAAAUUUGACUAACUAUAUGCUAUAAUUUGAUCUACUCCCAACAAUGCUCGGUUGUACUCUCCAACUCAAUGAACCAUUUGUUACAAAAUGAGCCAUGAUUACAACUUAAGUAAUUACAAUAAAAAGAUAUGCCAAGCAACAUAAUUACUGCAGUUCCCCUUUUAACUUGCUAAGAACAUCUACUAAGGAAACUACACAAAGUAAUAUAGCCCUGGAACAAGAGAGAAUAGUCUAUCUCAGAAACUAGAUUGCUCUGAUUCCUUUAUAUCUUUAUUAUGUGUAUACUUUGUAAAACUAUUUUUCCUGGAACCAGCAGCAUCUUGUGUCUCAUUUACUCUGAUUAAUUACUACAGUCAAAAUCACCUUUGAAGCCAUUGCAGCUUGUCUUUAGCCUAGUCGCCAAGGGCUACUAGCACACCCAAGGAAAGUGGUUUGAACCUGGGUUGCUUGGUAGCAUGUCCAUGUGUUUUAACAUUGAGCUACCCAGUGAUUCCCACAACUACUGAAUAUUGUAUAAUAUAAUUUAUGUAAUGUGUGUGUAUAUGUGUAUAAUAUAUUUGUGAUAUAUACUUGUGCUAACUGAAACAACAAACUGGUCCUAUGCUCUGAUAUUACCAAUUUACCAUAGUUUUGCAUAAAAAAAGCCGGGUAAUGUUCAAUAUACUAGGAUGAGCUAGCAUACAAUGCUCAACAUGAGUUAUGUAAUAAACUAAAAUCUAGGAUAAGCAUCUAAACAUCACUGCAAUGCAGCAACUAGUUCUACAAUCCUAGUCUUCUCCAACAUCUGCAACUUCGCUUUGAAUCACUUCUUUUAACAUUUUGGUUGCUUCAUGGCAAAUGGCAACUUUGCUAACAAGCAUUGAACCACUUCUUUAAUUCAAAGAUCCACAUUUGGGCUUUUUAUUGAGGAUUUACCCUGUGUUGAUUCUUGUACAAAAUCACUCUAAAAAAACCACCACAAUUGGGGCACCAUGAAGAGUGGCACACUUACUUGACUUUGAUGUAGGUGGUCGAAGGAGCAGCGGGCAAGGUCGGGGUGGAGCGGGGCGGAGGAGGGGGUCGCCGGGGCAGCGGGGNNNNNNNNNNNNNNNNNNNNNNNNNNNNNNNNNNNNNNNNNNNNNNNNNNNNNNNNNNNNNNNNNNNNNNNNNNNNNNNNNNNNNNNNNNNNNNNNNNNNNNNNNNNNNNNNNNNNNNNNNNNNNNNNNNNNNNNNNNNNNNNNNNNNNNNNNNNNNNNNNNNNNNNNNNNNNNNNNNNNNNNNNNNNNNNNNNNNNNNNNNNNNNNNNNNNNNNNNNNNNNNNNNNNNNNNNNNNNNNNNNNNNNNNNNNNNNNNNNNNNNNNNNNNNNNNNNNNNNNNNNNNNNNNNNNNNNNNNNNNNNNNNNNNNNNNNNNNNNNNNNNNNNNNNNNNNNNNNNNNNNNNNNNNNNNNNNNNNNNNNCGGGGGCGGCACGACGAUGGGGUUGGCGCGGGGCAGAGAGGGGGUCGCUAGGGCGGAGAGGGGGUCACCGGGGCGGCGCAACGAUGUGGGUGGCGCGGGGCGGCGGCGGCACGGGGGCAAGGCGGCCGACGACGGGGGUGGCGCGGGGCAGCGAUGUCUCGGGCAUGGGGUGGAGAGAGGGGACAGAGAGAGAGAGGGGUCGGGUGCGAGCGUGUUGGCUUUUUAGUUAGGGCACGGUUCUUUGCCGUCUGCUAGCAGACGGCAAAGAGCCUAGCUAACGGACGUUAGUUUGGGAACUUUCUUUGCCAUCGGCUAGCGGACGGCAAAGACAGAGGCCGUUAGGUGGCUCUCGCUAGUGGGCCCCCCUCCCUCUUUGCCGUCUACUCGCUGACGGCAAUGCAUCUAUGCCGUCAGCUACCGGAUGGCAAAGAGACGGCUGGCGGCAAACAAUAUCUUUGCCGUCCGCUUCUUGUUUGCCGUCAGUUUUAUUUAACCUUAUGGCAAAGACCUUCUUUGCCAUCAGCUAGCUGACGGCAAAGAGCCAGCUGAUGGCAAAGAUCCUGAUUCCAGUAGUGAUAUAUUAACUCUUCUUUCUUCUUUUAUAGCCCUCCGGAUUGAGCCAAACUUCGGUAACAAGAUGAGGCCUAAAGAAAAGUUUGCGCGUGGAUGAAAGGUUCACAAUCACAGCAAUCACGAACGAUGGCCAACUGAUUAAACCACGUGGACCAAGGAUGCAUUUUCUGCUCGGUGCGGAGCCAUUGUUAGGGACAUCAACCCGAUGUCUACUACGCAACCUUCUUCUUGUAGACGUUGUUGGGCCUCCAAGUGCAGAGGUUUGUAGGACAGCAACAGAUUUCCCUCAAGUAUAUGACCUAAGGUUUAUAAAUCCGUGGGAGGCAUAGGAUGAAGAUGGUCUCUCUCAAACAACCCUGCAAAACAAAUAGUCUCUUAUGUCCCCAACACACCCAAUACAAUGGUAAAUUGUAUAGGUGCACUAGUUCGGCGAAGAGAUGGUGAUACAAGUGCAAUAUGGAUGGUAGAUAUGAGUAUUUGUAAUCUGAAAAUAUAAAAACAGCAAGGUAAAAAGUGGCAAAAGUGAGCGUAAACGGUAUUGCAAUGCUAGGAAACAAGUCCUAUGGUUCAUAAUUUCACUAGUGCAAGUUCUCUCAACAAUAAUAACAUAAUUGGAUCAUAUAACUAUCCCUCAACAUGCAACAAAGAGUCACUCCAAAGUCACUAAUAGCAGAGAACAAACGAAGAGAUUAUUGUAGGGUACGAAACCACCUCAAAGUUAUCCUUUCUGAUCAAUCUAUUCAAGAGUCCGUAGUAAAAUAACACGAAGCUAUUCUUUCCAUUCGAUCUAUCAUAGAGUUUGUACUAGAAUAACACCUUAAGACACAAAUCAACCAAAACCCUAAUGUCACCUAGAUACUCUAAUGUCACCUCAAGUAUCCAUGGGCAUGAUUAUACGAUAUGCAUCACACAAUCUUAGAUUCAUCUAUUCAACCAACACAAAGUACUUCAAAGAGUGCCCCAAAGUUUCUACCAGAGAGUCAAGACGAAAACGUGUGCCAACCCCUAUGCAUAAGUUCACAAGGUCACCGAACCCGCAAGUUGAUCACCAAAACGUACAUCAAGUAGAUCUCGUGAAUAUCCCAUUGUCACCACAGAUAAGCACAUGCAAGACAUACAUCAAGUGUUCUCAAAUCCUUAAAGACUCAAUCCAAUAAGAUAACUUCAAAGGGAAAACUCAAUCCUUUACAAGAGAGUAGAGGGGGAGAAACAUCAUAAGAUCCAACUAUAAUAGCAAAACUCGCAAUAUCAAGAUCGUGCUGAAUCAAGAACACGAGAGAGAGAGAGAGAGAGAGAGAGAGAGAGAGAUCAAACACAUAGCUAUGGGUACAUACCCUCAUCCCCGAGGGUGAACUACUCCCUCCUUGUCAUGGAGCGCCGGGAUAAUGAAGAUGGCCACCGGUGAGGGAUCCCCCCUCCGGCAGGGUGCUGGAAUAGAGUCCUGGGAGCUUUUUGGUAGCUACAGAGGCUUGCGGUGGCGGAACUCCCGAUCUAUUGUGCUCCCGGAUGUUUUCGGAGUAUAUGAGUAUAUAUAGGCGAAAGAAGUCGGUUAGGGGAGCCAUGAGGGGCCCACGAGGGUGGGGGCGCGCCCAGGGGGUAGGGCGUGCCCUGGACCCUCGUGGCUUCCUCGAAGCUUCCCUGAUGUCUACUCCAAGUCUCCUGGAUUGCGUUUGUUCCAAAAAUAACUCUCUCAAAGGUUUCAUUCCGUUUGGACUCCGUUUGAUAUUCCUUUUCUUCGAAACACUGAAAUAGGCAAGAAAACACCAAUUUGGGUUGGGCCUCUGGUUAAUGGGUUAGUCCCAAAAAUAAUAUAAAAGUGUAUAACAAAGCCCAUUAAACAUCCAAAAUAGAUAAUAUAAUAGCAUGGAACAAUAAAAAAUUAUAGAUACGUCGGAGACGUAUCAAGCAUCCCCAAGCUUAAUUCCUGCUCGUCCUCGAGUAGGUAAAUGAUAAAAAUAGAAGUUUUGAUGUGGAAUGCUACCUAACAUAAUUUUCAAUGUAAUUCUCUUUAUUGUGGCAUGAAUGUUCAGAUCCAAAAGAUUCAAGAUAAAAGUUCAUAUUGACAUAAAAAUAGUAAUACUUCAAGCAUACUAACAAGUAAUCAUGUCUUAUCAAAAUAACAUUGCCAAAUAAAGCUUAUCCCUACAAAAUCAUAUAGUUAGGCCAUGCUUCAUUUUCGUCACACAAAAUGCUCCCAUCAUGCACAACCCCGGUUUCAGCCAAGCAAUUGGUUCAUACUUUUUAACGCGCUUCAGCCUUUUCAACCCUCACGCAAUACAUGAAUGUAAGCCAUGGAUAUAGCACUAUGGGUGGAGUAGAGUAUGAUGAUAGGGAUUAUGUGAGAAAACAAAAAAGGAGAAAGUUUCACAUUGACGCGGCUAAUCAACGGGCUAUGGAGAUGCCCAUCAAUUGAUGUCAAUACGAGGAGUAGGGAUUGCAUGCAAUGGAUGCACUAGGCUAUAAAUGUAUGAAAGAUCAUCAAAAAGAAACUAAGUGGGUGUGCAUCCAACUUGCUUGCUCACGAAGACCUAGGGCAUUUUGAGGAAGCCCAUCAUUGGAAUAUACAAGCCAAGUUCUAUAAUGAAAAAUUCCCACUAGUAUAUGAAAGUGACAACAUAGGAGACUCUCUAUCAUGAAGAUCAUGGUGCUAUGUUGAAGCACAAGUGUGGUAAAAGGAUAGUAGCAUUGCCCCUUCCCUCUUUUUCUCUCAUUUUUUCCUUUUUUUUAUUUGGGCUUCUUUGGCCUCUUUUUUUUAUUUGGGCUUCUUUGGCCUCUUUUUUUAAAAGUCCGGAGUCUCAUCCCGACUUGUGGGGGAAUCAUAGUCUCCAUCAUCCAUUCAUCACAUGGGACAUUGCUCUAAUAGUGGAAAUCAUCACACUUGUAUUUAUUUACAACUCAAGGAUUACAACUCAAUACUUAGGAAAAAAUAUGACUCUAUGUGAAUGCCUCCGACGGUGUACCGAGAUGUGCAAUGAAUCAAGAGUGACAGGUAUGAAAGAAUUAUGAAAGGUGGCUUUGCCACAAAUACGAUGUCAACUACAUGAUCAUGCAAAGCAAUAUGACAAUGAUGGAGCGUGUCAUAACAAACGAAACGGUGGAAAGUUGCAUGGCAAUAUAUCUCGGAAUGGCUAUGGAAAUGCCAUAAUAGGUAGGUAUGGUGGCUGUUUUGAGGAAGAUAUAAGGAGGUUUAUGUGUGAUAGAGCGUAUCGUAUCACGGGGUUUGGAUGCACUGGCAAAGUUUGCACCAACUCUCAAGGUGAGAAAGGGCAAUGCACGGUACCAUAGAGGCUAGCAAAUUGCGGAAGGGUAAGAGUGCGCAUAAUCCAUGGACUCACAUUAGUCAUAAAGAACUCAUAUACUUAUUGCAAAAGUUUAUUAGCCCUCAAAGCAAAGUACUACUACGCAUGCUCCUAGGGGAAGGGUUGGUAGGAGUUAACCAUCGCGCGAUCCCGACCUCCACUCAUAAGGAAGGCAAUCAAAGAACACCCCAUGCUUCAAAUUUGUCACACAACGUUCACCAUACAUGCAUGCUACGUGACUUGCCAACUUUAACACAAGUAUUUCUCAAUUUCAUAAUUACCCAACUAGCAUGACUCUAACAUUACCACCUUUAUAUCUCAAAACAAUUAUCAAGUAUCAAAUUUAUCAUAGUAUUCAAUGCAUUUUAUAUGAAAGUUUUUAUUAUACCCAUCUUGAAUGCUUAUCAUAAUAGGACUAAUUUCAUAACCAAAGCAUAUUACCAUGCUGUUCUAAAAGACUCUCAAAAUAAUAUAAGUGAAGCAUGAGAGAUCAAUAAUUUCCACAAAAUAAAACCACCACCGUGCUCUAAAAAGGUAUAAGUGAAGCACUAGAGCAAACGACAAACUACUCCGAAAGAUAUAAGUGAAGAUCAAUGAGUAGUUGAAUAAUUAUGCAACUAUGUGAAGACUCUCCAACAUUUAAGAAUUUCAGAUCUUGGUAUUUUAUUCAAACAACAAGCAAAGGAAAAGAAAAGAAAAUGACGCUCCAAGCAAAACACAUAUCAUGUGGUGAAUAAAAAUAUAGCUCCAAGUAAAGUUACCGAUGAACGAAGACGAAAGAGGGGAUGCCAUCCAGGGCAUCCCCAAGCUUAGGCUCUUGCCACUCCUUAUUCCAUAGUCCAUCGAAUCUUUACUCAAAACUUGAAAACUUCACAACACAAAACUUAACAGAAAACUCGUAAGCUCCGUUAGUAUAAGAAAAUAAAUCACCACUUAGGUACUGUUAUGAACUCAUUCUAAAUUCAUAUUGGUGUAAUAUCUACUGUAUUCCAACUUCUCUAUGGUUCAUACCCUCCGAUAAUACUCAUAGAUUCAUCAAAAUAAGCAAACAACCCAUAGAAAACAGAAUCUGUCAAAAACAGAACAGUCUGUAGUAAUCAGUAUCAUUAGAAUACGUAUGUAACUCAAACAAUUAUGAAAUAAAUGUGUGGACUUGAGGAAUUUAUCUAUUAAUCAUCUUCAAAAAGAAUCAACCUAAAAUCACUCUCCAGUAAAAAAUGGCAGCUAAUCUCGUGAGCGCAAAAGUUUCUGUUUUUUACAGCAAGAUCGCAUAGACUUCACCCAAGUCUUCCCAAAGGUCCUACUUGGAACAAACACUAAUUAAAACAUAAAACCACAUCUAAACAGAGGCUAGAUGAAUUAUUUAUUACUAAACAGGAGCAAAAGCAAAGGACAAAAGUAGAAUUGGGUUGCCUCCCAACAAGCGCUAUCGUUUAACGCCCCUAGCUAGGCAUGAUGAUUUCAAUGAUGCUCACAUAAAAGAUAAGAAUUGAAACACAAGGAGAGCAUCAUGAAGCAUAUGACUAGAACAUUUAAGUCUAACCCACUUCCUAUGCAUAGGGAUUUUGUGA